RNAcentral lists this long non-coding RNA (59588 nucleotides) under Ananas comosus (pineapple). RNAcentral's name for it is "long non-coding RNA (ACOM_LNC010410)". The record is from RNAcentral. Lineage: Eukaryota; Viridiplantae; Streptophyta; Magnoliopsida; Poales; Bromeliaceae.
UCUUAUUAGUUAACAAAUCUAAUAAUAGGAUGCGAAGCUAGCACAACACACAAGAUAAAAUGCAUACAAGAACUCAAGGGGGUUCUAUUUGAUUUUGUAUUGUGUGAAAGGCCUAAUACAGUUAAGUGGAGAUAGGCCUCCGAUCAGCAAUGAUUAAAUCACCUAACGACGUUGCAACAGACGAAAGGAUAAAGGACCCUAAUACCCCGCUCAUCUAGAAACUGAAAGUUUCGCUUAAAGUGAAGAUCUUUGUGUGGCUAAUUCUAAGGAAGAGGGUCCUCACUCUAGAUAAUCUAAUUAAAACAGGAUGGCAUAGGGAAGAAAUAUGUGUUAUGACUGACAAUGAUGAAGAGACAAUGGAUCACUUAUUUGUUGGAUGUGCAUUUCUUCUAGCAGUAUGCUCGGGGUUGGGUGUGGAAAUGAGUGAUCAACUAAAGAGAAAUAUGAGUCAUGUGGGGGAAAUAUGGAAAGUAACUAGGGGGGAAAAGUACACCUAAAGAAGAACGAAGAGGUUGACCACAUUAACCGCUGUGUGGUGGGCUACUUGGCAUCAAGGAAACAACAACAGUUUUCGAAAUAAGGAUAGAAAACCAAGACAAGUGCAGAUGGAAUUCUGAGGUUAAUAUGUAAGGAAUUGAAUCCUCGAGACGUAAAACCGAACUUCGAUCAAAAUUGAUCGACGAUUGGUUUGGGAAACUUCGGAAUAUCCGAAAUCGUCGAAAAUGGCUUUAGAGGGUUAGUAAGGACCUUGGAGAGCAAGAUGUUAAAAUUCUGCAAUUUGCAGAAUUUAUACGCUCUCGGGGUCCGGACCCUAGCUUCAGGGUCUAGACCCCAUAACCCGAAAAUGCCCAGUUCAGGCAGUGUGUAAAUGGAAGAGUUAGAGGGGUUUUUGGCAAUUUUGCCAAGUGGGGAGUUAAAUGAGGGGUUGUCUCUCUCAUUUCUCUCAUUCUCUCCCAAACCUAAACCUAAAACACUCUCCCUCUCUCUCUCUAAGCUCUCUUUCUCUAUCUCUUCAAGGUGGAAAGGAAAAGGGAGAUUUGGUGGAGAUUGGAGCUUGGGGGAAGAACACCAUCAUCAUCUUCUUCCUUUGCUUGGAGGGAGCAAGCUUUUGAGGUAAGCUUGAUGUUCUCUAAUGGUGGAUUUCUAGGGUUAGGUUUAUAUGCUCUAGAAUUGGUUUUAGUGGAACCCUAGGAUGCUAAAUAGAUGCUUAUUGCUUGAAUCAAGUAGUGGAAAUGGGUUUCUUGCAAUAGUAGCAUAUGAGCGCUCCAAAAUGGGGUUUUGUAAAAUGUAAGGGCUUGAUCUAAAUUAACCCUAUACAAACCAAAUUGCUAAGUAUUCUAACGUGCUGGUAAAGUCGGUUCUCCAUCCGUCGAACCUAUGCGAAGAUAUUGGGAAAAAUGACCGUUUCGGCUUUGUUUCCGCCUGGAAGGCCGAGGCGACAUCCAAAAAUCGUGAAACUGGAUUCCUAGCAUCGCGGCAUCACCUAGAGAUGGGGGGUGCCAUCUGAAGCCAUCGAGCUUCCUUCUAUGUCUAUGUUUGCAUGGUCGACCAUGUGAUUUUCAUAUUGCUAUGCAUUGUAGGAUUGUGAUAGUGGUAUUGCCUAUUCCUUAAUGUUUCCAUAGUUGAUAUUGCAUUGUGAGGUGGAUGCAUGAUGUAGUGGAUAUCUAAGGAUUGGGUCUUGAUAAUGGAAUCCUAUAGUGCCGAAACAAGUGAUGAACUUGACGAAUAUGAAAUGACGUAACGAGUGGCAUGUAAAUAGAUGAAAACAUGGACGAGUGGCAUGUGAAUGUAGUUUAGUGGAAACACUUAUUGUAUGAGGAACUUAGGGAUAGAGGAAUUUCCCGAGUCGUGAUAUGUUGCAUGUGAACUUAGUGUAGAUGAGACACUUGAACAUGAACAUAGGGAUAGUUGAAUUCCCGAGUUGUUGAUAGCCCUAGUUGGCAGGAUGUCCUCAGUGGACGAGGACUGGAUCAUACUCACAUAGUCUGUUUUGGACUUGGCGUGGUCGCUCCACCUAAGUAGUGCACUCCGAAGUUGUCACACGAGGGACAGACGUAGUUGUCCCGCAGGCAGUCUCGGGUGGGAUGUUGCGGCGGAAGCUCCUCACCUAUGGGAUUUGAGAUGUAAGUCUGGGGCGAACCUUCGGGUUAGCCAAGUGAUUGGGUGAACAUAUGAAUGACAGGUUUGUUGAACAUAGUAGCAUGAUAGUUGACAUCAUUACUAUAUAUUUUAUGCAUUCAUAUUGAUUGAGGCAUAGUAGCAUAUUUGCAUACUUGAUUACUACGUAGCAGUUGAUUCAUAUCUACCUAUCUAUCUAUCUGCUUAUGCCUGCUUAGACCUAGUGGGAAGAUCGGCGGAUUUGGUGGCCGAAUCCACUGGGAACUAUGGACAAUAGUUCUCAUCGCACUUUGUUGCAAGGCCGAGUUCGAGCACACCGGGCGAGGAUCGCGGUAAGGGCAUAGCGCUCUAAUAGUGAGUAGCUUUCCUUUUUGCAUUAGAGCACCCUAUGUACUUGAGAGUGAUGAUGUAUAUUUGGUAAGGAUGCAUUUUGGAGAGUUGUACAUGUUGUGAGAUGAUUAUGUAGACUUCAUGUAUGCAUUUUGGGAGAUGUAAAUGUAAACCCGAUGUAUAUGAUGCUAAAUGGUCGAAUGGUUGUAAUAGUUAGAACUCUCUCUCUUUUGCUCUUUUGUAUGCUUGUAUUUACACUCGCAUUGAUCAUGUAUGUUGUUUAAGUUUACCUGGGCAACUUGAUGUACAUGACUUUAUUAUUUAGCCUUGGGCGGACAGGAGAGGUGCUGUUCGUUCGGGUCUGUUCGACGUGCCCGAACCAACCAAACUGGCGGUUGCGGAGCGUGACAUAAUAGAUAGUUAGGAAGAUCUUCGUAGAAAAUAGCUUUUGUAACUUUUGUUUUUUUUUUUUUUACCCCGGCUCUCGGGAGGCUUAGUUGCCUCAUGAUUGUAGCUUAAUUCAUUGUUUUGAUGAAUAAAGGCUUAGUUGCCUCAUGAUUGUAGCUUAAUUCAUUGUUUUGAUGAAUAAAGUCAAUAGCUUGCUACCUUUUACUCAAAAAAGAAAAAAAAAAAAAAAAAGGCAUCCACUGCAGUGACCAUAUAUUGUUAAAAGCAUGCGUGUGUGGAUAUUUAGCACAAUCACUUGACUUGCUAUUAAUCUGAAUAAUAGAUAUGAGGAACACAUAAAGAUUGAUUCAAGAAUACAUCUCAGCACCUAUACUUAGUUAAAGUUAAAUUGAGAUGCUGGGUUAUGGCUUAUUUACAAAGCCAGGUUUCUGCCAUAUUUUGACCAUAUUUUGACCAAAUUUAGACUUGUUGUUCCAAUUAACCAAAGUUACAUACUCGUUUAGUUGGAUGGACUUUAAAAUGAAUUUACAUAGACAUGCAGACACAGGAGAACACACAGAUGAGAAUGAAUUUCCACAAAUUUGCAAUAUUAAACAGAUAUUUUAAAGUAAAAUUCUUCAAUAAAGUGAAUAAUUGAGAAGAAAAGAGGAGCAAUACCAUAGCAAGUUCUGGAAGCUUUUCAGCAUCAACAAAUGUAUGGGGUAAGAGCUUGAAGAUCUCUUGUGCACCCUGAGAAACUAAAAAAUUUAAAUAUAGUUAAAUGUAAGAUUCGCUCACUAAACGAAGAAUUGCUGUCAACUGAAUAAUCCCUUUUUUUUUGCAUGUAGAUAAUUUUCUAUCAUUUAACACAAACUUAAGUAUAGGAAUUACCAUAUACUUUAUCCCCAUCUAUCAUUUCAGUUUAUGAUUUCUGGAGGCUAAGCUUAGUAUAAAAAAAAAAAUCACAGAAAGGCUUGGUAAGAAGCACUAAUUGUCUUGGUAAUAAACAAAGUAUAUCAUGUAAGUUUCGUUUGACAUAUGCACUACAAAGCUGCAAUAAGAAUGAUAUAGAAACUUAGCUAACUCAACUUAUAGUGUGUUGAUCCUGAAGAGGAGAACAAUGAAUCUGCAAUCUAAAGAUGAAAUUUAUCUCCAAAGCCAAACAAAUAACUACAAAGCAUUAUUUUCUUACCAGAGAUAUCUGAAAAAUGAUAUUUGGUCAUUUAUCCCCUUAAAGGAUCGUAGGUAUUAUCAUAUUGUCCUUUUUCCUGAAAUUCUUAUUGUACUUCUUGACGCAAUUUAUUGGUAGGAUUGAGCUUUUGUAAUAUUUGGAUUGCUAUAUUUGCAUAAAAAAAGCAAAUUGAAUCUUUGGAAAAAAAGGUGAAGUCAUAAAGUUGAACCUUUAUAAGUUUGAUACAUGUCCAUUUCUUCCUCGAAAGGUCUAUUUCUUGAUUAUUACUCUAAACACUAAAGGAGAAACCACUUACACAGGACACUAAAUCCCUUUAUGAAACAGAACUGUAUAUAAUAAUAUUUACCCAUAUAUCAGAUAAUUGCCAAACCUUAAAAUCACCCAAUUUCAGAUUUACCCUCUGUUUCAAAUAUAACCCUUUGAACUUUGUCUGUUAUUCAUAUAUACCAUACUUUGAGGAUGUAUUUAAAUGAAAUUGAAACUUUACAAGGGUAGAUUUCUGUACAAGAAUUUUUGAGGGGUAAAUAUGAAAAUCAAAAACUUUUGAAGGUUAGCUAGGAAAUAACUCCUAAAAUUUAUAUUAAAACAUAUGCAAGGAACUUUGGCUUUUUUCUUUUUCUUUACUCAUCAAAAAAUACUAGAAUAAUAUAAUUCUGGAGCUUCUAGAAACUAAAAAAGUGUCAAAGAACAAGGAAGAGAGAGAUAACAUGCUACAGAGGUAUUGACCAUGACUUAAAUUAUAUGACUAAAGGAAGAAGCAUAUUCUGAUUAGGAAUUUAGGCAGAUACCUUAUUUCAUGCUCAACUAAUCAAGAUUUGUAAAAGAAUAGAUACAUUGGCUAAGUAACAUGCCACACUAUAUUUUCACCAAAAUCUCAAUAGUCUCCAUAUAAACAAGAAACUGUAACAAGAUACGAUAAUUUUAUGGCCUUGAUUUAUUAACAUAAGGUGUGUUAUAUAACUAGCUACAAACAAAACUAAAAUAAACUAAGAUAAAACAAUAUAUUGAUGAUUUUAAUUGUCCUUUUAUCAAUUAUAUUACAAACACAUGAUAAACGUAGAUGAGAACAAUAAAAAACAAACGUUUGCAAAACAGAAAUAGUUAUGGAGUUAAAAGUACCAUUUCCAUCUCCAGUGAAUACAAAUACAAUGGGGGAAAUUCCAGAUGGAAGUCCCAGCGUAGCUAUUUCCUCGCCGACGGCAAGUACAGCAGCCUUUGCCGCAGCAAGAGAAGGAUACAUAUAAGAUGCUCCAAGCGAUAGAAAAGGUGUAGAAUAUCCGAGACAUAGGUAUCCUGGAAUGAUAAAAACAUAUUAAACUAUUUAGGAUACUAUCAUUGCUAACAGUUCCAGAAGCAGAUAGAUGUAUACAACAUUCAGUACUAUGCUUCCCAGAAAAUAGUUGUCUGAAAUAUUAAAGCUUAGAUUGUAAAUCUCAUUGAAGCCAACCUGCUAACUAAUCACACAGAAUCACCUUUAAUGAAUAUAAAAUUCAGCAAAAGUUUGCAAAAUAGAGAAAACAAGUAAUAUGAUUAUGCCAAUUUCCGCAAUCUACAAAUCAUAGAGACUACCUUUAACAUGUUUUGGAAAAACAAAUAAAUAAAUGAAUAAAUGUGUUCUGACUGGAAAAUUGAAGAGAAAUAUAUAUCCAUCUGGGGAGGAGUUUCAAGAUUCUUACGUUGCCCCAGACCAUGUAAGAAGUCUAUUAAGCCUGCUCUCCCCGCAAAUUUUCCAAAUGCUAGCAAUCUCUUCCCAUCAUCACCAACAAUCAGUUCGUAAUCAAAUAAGGACACUCUUUCAGCUAGAAUCUACUUGAAAUGUCCAUCAAUUAAUAAUAUAUAUUUAUAUAGAUCGAUAGGAAUGACAACAGGGUGCACCAUCAAGCAUUUCACCUUAUCUAGCAAGGGCAUGUUUUCUUUCUGGGCCUUGUGGGUGUGGGAAAAGAAGGCGUAUGCUCUAUCCGGAAGUAUCAUCUCCAACUGCAAAAUCGAAUGUAUUUCAAGACAUUCAUUUCGUAUACAAGCUCUAAAACAUCAAAUAUUCGAAUUUAAGAAGACACAGCAACUAGUUUGGGGUAACCUUCGGUUGUUUUAUUCCUACAAUGAGACCACAUUCUGAUAGAUCAUCGGAAAUUUCACAUCCAACAUCCUUGUAUUGGGCAUCAUGAUGGAUGCGCUUCAUGCUUGGCUGCACGAUAAUCCGUUCGACUCCACUUCUGCCCUUUCCACGGAGCAGAAGGCGAGCACAGUGAGAGGGAGUUAAGGGCGCCCGCCUUUCCCACUUGUUAAUGGACUCGGAAAGUAUUCCUACAAUUCCAUUUCCCAGCAGGCUGCAAUUUUCCUGUAACGCCAAAAUGUUUCAUAAGUUAAGGCUUUACCAGAGUGUUUCAAGAAAUUGUUAAGCAAACAGGCCAAGAUCCCGCACUUCUCUUCUUGUAGAAUCCAUGAAGAUUCACUCUGUCGCAGAAUGCCUAAUACGGUUUUUGAUUCUUCCUUUAUCCACCUGGAAAUUAUCAGACAUUUUAAGAUGAACCGUUUUAAAGAUUGCCAUCUCAUGAAGAAUUUGAAAAUUUCCAUUUCUCAAUGACUGGAACAUCGCAUGAUGGCAUGAAAUAAGCAGAGAACACAAAUUAAGAUAUAUUGUAAAAAAAAAAAAUAUGGCUUACAAGUAAGAGAUGAACUGCAAAUUCUACAACAACAUUGCAAUCAAUGUUCUUUGAGCAACAAUGUCAAGAAUUCAACAUAAAGACGACAUUACAGAGUACAUUUCGUUUCUUCCAUUUUAAUCAAAUACACAAUGUACGACCAAAACCAGAAAAUUCCACAAUAUCAAGAAGAAGGCGGGAUUUUUUUGCAAAUAGAAAUCUACUUGGAGCGGUAUGCUUUCGUGUACAUUUGACAUCGGUUACCUAAUAAAUAAAUGAAUGUUGAAAUUCAAGAACUCGAUUUUUUAUACGAAAACAACAAACCAAUAAAAAAAUAAAAAUUAAAUCAAAACUCAACAGUCUUAGAGCCGAAGACAGAGCCGAGAAUAAAAUUCAAGAAAUAAAGGGAUUAAGCCAUGAAACAAAUGCUCGACCGGCCCAGAAAAUUUUGAUCAAAGAAGAAGAAAUAAAUGGGAAUAAUAGGACUCGCAUAUACUGAGUGUUGCGGCUGAGACUUGAUCAAGGAGGAGCCAAAAAUGCGCCGAAAAUAAGGAGAGAGAGUGUGGGAAAUGGUUUUACUGAUUUCUAGAAGGAUAGAAAUGUCUAUUGUAAUAAGUAACAGGCACUAUUAUAUGGAAGAAAGCCUGAAAGAGACAAGGGCGCCGAGCCUGAACUAAAAGAUGGUGGACGGUCAAAGUGGGCAACGUUGCCGCACAGAAAAAGACGCGAAAAAAUGUCCCACUUCUCUCCUUCUUGCUUGUGCAUUUUUUAUAAGCAGUGAUGCUACACAUACGUCACAAAAAGGUUAACUUUUUAUUUGUCACGCUCCAAAUUCGAAACAUAAUAAACACCGUAUACCUACUAAAUUAACAAAUAUGCAAGAUUAUAGAAAAAGAGAGAAAACAAGCAAAAUAAUGAUUACGAAAUUUUUCACUAAAUCCAAGAAUCAAAAGAUGAGACUAACAACUGAACUUCAACUAGAAGCAAAUGAAUUCUCACAUAUAUAAAACUAGAGUUUACUACGAAACACAAACGAAAAUUCGCUCCAACAAAUACCAUAAAUAACAAAAAUGCAGGUAUGAAGAAAUAACGAAAGAAGAUAAACAAAUGAUAGUUUACAAAGUUCAAAUAUUCACAUCUAAUUAUACUAAACAUAAAAACAAAAGAAACUAAAUUCAAACAGUAACUAUAUCUAACGUUCACUCGGUCCCGCCCCCGCCCGGCAAAUCAGUCUCGAUAUCUAAGUAAGCAACUAUACACCAUAUUAGUCGUAUUAAGCAUACAAACAAAUAUGUACAAAAAUUAAUUUAAGCGAUACAAAAUUUCAAAACAUAGAGAUUAUUAGAAUUUAAAAUUCAGAUCAAAUAGAAACUAUAAAUUUACAAAGUAUUUUCUCUUUCAGCAAAUAAACGAAAUAAAAAUUAAGUCUCCGGUAACUAACUAUAUCAUGUGAUCCGUUGGCGAAAUCCUAGGCGCAAAACAAAAUAGAGGCACCCGAAUGUGUCUAUACAGAACAGAGGCGCGCGAAAACGCAAAUACAGCAUAGGGGCACAAAUAGGCACAAACAUCCGGAAGCGCAAUACAGAGACAAAACUAGCUUCUAUAACAGAAUACAUAUCAACAUAGCUAACAUUAGCAUACCAGGAUACCAAGAGACAUUACAAUUUAUCCGGUCACUAAUUUACAGAACAGAUUAUCAAAUUUUAAAAUUAUUUUGCUAAAAAACCUUUCAAUCACAGUUGAACUCAGUUUACAGAAAUAUUUAAUAAUAUGCUUAACUCUUAAUUUUAAGAUCUAUAAAAUAAAGAUUUUUGCACAAUUAGAAUAUUUUUCUAAAUAAUUUUGCAAAAGCUAAUGGGUCUCCGGUCGCUUACCUCAAAAACAGUUUCUAAGCUAAUAAGCUAUCCGGUCAAGAAUGCAAAGGGAGCCAAUUCACCGGAACCUAAAACAGAGAAUUACGAUUCUUUAUGAGCUACUAAAAAUAAAAUUACAAACUAAAAAUAAAAUUACAAAGGAGCAGAACUAUUAGAAGAAGAGCUUAUAUAAACAAUUGGUAACAAACACAUUCAACUAAGUUGAGACGGAGCACGAAGGAAUUUAGAAUAAUAAGCUCAGCAAAACUUAACUAUCAAUUAAGAAGAUGAAGAGUUUUAAGAAUUAAAUUAUUCAAAGAGGUAAGAUAAUAUGAAGAGAAUUUUAAAUAAUAAAAAGUUUCUAGUAUUCAAAAAGAGGAUUUUCAGAUGUUGAAACAUAAGUUUACAACCAAUAAGAUGGGAUCAAGAUUGAAAACAAAAUCGACAUAUGCCUUCUCUUAGACAUUUUGUCGAACAUGUGAAGGGCAUUUCGAAAGGUGUGCAGAAUAUACAGAAUUUAUACAACUAAAUCAUAUGGAGAAUAGGGGAUAAAAUUAAGAGUAUGAUCAAUAUUAAUUUAAAUCAAUAGAAAUCAGAUUUUAAUGGUUUCAAAUUUCAAUUAUCAAGAGAUAAGUAUUUCAAAAAUAAUAAUAUAAUAAUAAACAAGGAGAUUGGAUGAAUCUCAAGAUUCGGUAUGGAGAUAAAGAUGAAAGAAAGAAACCUUCUCUCAAAGACGGUAACAACGACGAUGAAGUGUCGUCCACGACGAACAAAAAUGUCGAUAGAUGAGAUGCGCGGCGGCGGCGGCCACAGAUGACGGUGACGACGAUGUUGAUCAAGCGGCCUCGCGCGUGCAUGCAAGGCGGAGAGGUCGUACGGAAGCGAGAUGAAGAGGGAGGGCCGGAUGGCUGUGACGAACAGGAGAAGAGAACGAAUUAGAGAUUUAAUUAGCGUAAAAUGCCGCCAAGCCCCUAUACUCUUAAUAUCCACCAAAAGGUCCAAAAUUUAAAAGAAUGAAAGUCUUUUUUUGAGAGAAAAGUAGCGUUCUAGUCGAGUUUAUUUUUUUAGAAAAUAAACUUUGGCUGGAAAUGUGAAUCAAAAAGAAUUAAAAUUUGGGACCUUCAAUAUCAACUAUUAAAUUUUUUGCCACUUGCGUUAGGGUUGGUCCAUCAAAAAAUAAAAAUAAAAAUAAAAAUAAAAACAAAAGAAAGAAGGAAUAGGGGUGUUGUUUAAAUAUUUUUGUUUUUAUAACGGCCCUACUAAGGCUACUUUUGUUGAUUUCUACAUAAAAAUAUCUAAAAUUUAUGUAAAAAAUUAUGAACUACUUUAAUCACACUACCUUAGUUUUUAAAAAAUUUAAUUUUAUUAUUAAAUAUUUUAAUUUGUUUGAUUGAAAUAAUUUAAUAGCUCUUCUGAUAUAAAAUUUAAAAUAACUACUCACUUUAAUUAAUUUAUAAUUAUAUAAAUUAUAUAAAAUGUACUAACUAAAUCAGUAAAAAUAAACUACGCAUUCAAAUUUUAAAGGUAAAAGUAAUUAAUAAGCUCAAGUUAAAGGUCAUUAAUAAGCUCAAAUCAAAUAAAUUAAAGUCUUAGGUUGUAAAAGUAAAAUAUUUACCUUGAUUAAAGGUUACACAACCGGAUCCAAAGAAGUUAGUAUAUAUUCUUACCUUGAUUAUAAUUGUAAAUGAUGUAUAACUAAAAAUACAUGUGGUAGUGGAAAAAUCUGAUAGUUAUAAUUAUAUACCUCUUAUUUAAUUAAAUAUUAAAAAAUAUUGUAAAUAUUAAAAAAAUUUAUUUAGUUGUAUACAAUUAGACCUGGCAAACGGGCGGAUUGGGUAACUUGCAAACGGAUCACUAUACCCACGGGUCAUAUGGGUAUAGAUAAAAUUUACCCAUAAAUUUUUUGGUAGUCAACAUCUCUACCCAUACCCAUUCACAUGAAGACGAGUGGGUAUGUGGGUUACCCGCAAGAAUUUUCUUUUUUUUAGUCCUAUCCUAUCCAAAUGCUUACAUAUAUAAAAUUUUUAAAAGCAAAACUUGUAUGUUAUUUGAAAUAUUAUAAUAUACAAUAAAUAAUAUAAAAUCUUAAAAGACAUACAUUAAUAAUAUAAAAGUAUUUUAGCAUUCCAAACAUUUAUAAUACAAAUUAAAAAAAUUUUCAUCAUUAUUAUAGAGUCAAUAUUAUGAAGAUUAUAUUUUUUAAUUUAAAAAAUAUAUAUGUGAGUACCCAUAUGUACCUAUGCGUUACCCAAAAUACUUACCACUUAACAGAUAUCUAUAUGUUUUAUCCAUAAUUUUUUAGAUAAGAAGUACACAUACCCGCAAAUUUGUGAGUAACCCACGAAUACCUGCGGGUAAGGUAAAGAUUAUCAGGUUUAUAUAUACAAUAGAGAACUAUAUUAACAAAUUUGAUUCUUUUAUAUGUUGAAUGGUGAGAUUACCCUCAAUAUAAGUUAAAAAUUUCAUUAUAUAAAAAAUGAUUAAGUAGGUAGGCUUACAUCUUAUUUAAAAUUAGGAGCUUUUGCUUAUUUAUCCAUUACUAUUAAGCAAAAUUUUCAAACUUUAUCCAGAAAUUAUCAAAAUACCUUUCUAACACCUAAUCCCAUUAGUAAACCCUAAGAGAAAUUGCAAUAUUUGAAGAAAUUUUUAAAAUCAACAAAAAAUAUUUUGGUUUUUGGGAAUAAAUAAGAUAUUUUUGAAGUUUUAAGGUAUUCUCUCCGACUGCUAUAGUUAGAAUUGUUGAUAAUUUGGAUAUAGUUCUAAUUUCUACAGUUUGAAUUCCCUGUGCAGUUUUGAUAGUAGAAAUUGGAUUCAAAUAUAUCAAAUUAGAUACUAUGUUUGGAUUUGUAUGUAAACUACAACCAAACAUUUCCUACAUGUGACCUCGUAAGGGGGGAAAAAUCUCGAAUGUCAGACUUUAAAAUUUAAAAUAUAAAAUUUUCAUCUAUAAUUUAUUAAAUUUAUUUAAAAUAAAUACAUAUUAAUGUCCAUGCCUCUCAAAAUUGGAAAUUUUAUGCCUAUACCUAAACAAAUAAUUUGCACUUGCAUGUACAUCUCUAAAAAUUAAUAUUUGAGUUUAUACCUACAGAAAUAAAUUGUGUAAGCACCAUUUUCAUCUUCGAUGAUUUGCUAUUUCCAACCAAAAUUCAAAAAGAGUAAUAAUUUAAUAUUUUCUUUAUGGGGAUAUCCUUCACUAUGUUAUUUAGGAAAUUUCAAACCAAAUGCAUCCUAGUGAUAUUCUUUCUUUUUUAUGGUAUUCAUACAAAUACUUGGACCAAGCAAAACUCACAAAACAACUGCAAAGGAAAAACUCCAAAAUUGUUCACUAUUGCUAAGAUCAAAAGUUUAAAGCCUUCAUAACGACUCGAACCACUAGUACUAAUAAUUUAUUAGAUCUAAACUAUUGAUCUAAAAUGCUUAAACUUGGUUAUUGUUAUUAGGAUUUAUGUUAUCUUAUAUUCUUAAUCACAACUCCAUUCCAGGGUGUGAAAGACUCUGUUCAUUUAAGCCGUGAUAUCCUCAUCAAUCCAAUCACACACAAAGUCUAAAAUCACCAGGCAAUGUGAGGUCGAUCUCAUAUUUUUGGCUGGUGAAUUAGCUCCGAUACCAAAUGUAAAAAUACGACCGGCUAGUAAUAAUAAUUCGUUGGACCCAAUCUCCGAUUCAAAAUAUUUAAGUCCAGUUGUUAUUAUUAUGAUUCAUAGUCUUUUAUAUAUCUAAUAAUAACUUCUUUCCCAUCUGAUAACAUCCAAUAGUCCCACAUCGAAUGGGAAAGAGAUUGUUAUUGGGUAUAUAAUAAAAGACCAUGACCAUAGUAUAACAACCGAGUUUAAAUAUUUUGAGUUAGUAGUUUAGACUCAACAUGUUAUUAUUGCUAGAAAAUCAAGUCGUUAGUUUUGAUAUUUGAGCCUGUUCACCAACCAGAAAUGUGAGAUGAGCCUUAAAAUAUUAGAGUCGGUUCACCAACCAAAAAUAUAAGGCGGGCCUUAAAUUGCAUGAUGAUCUUGGAACAAGGCGGCCCUUACAUCGCUUAAUAAUUUUAGAUUGUGUGUGUGAUUAGACUGAUAAGGACGUUACGGUCUAAACGGACAAGUUAUUAUUGCUAACAGAUCGGAUCAUUAUAGUUAUAACCUCUGAACUGCUUCAUUAAAAAUCAAAUCAGAUAAUUGACUUAUAUAUAGCACAUUUGGUUAACUGGUUGGGUCAUUAUAGUUAUAACUUUUGAAUUGCUUUAUUAAAAUCAAAUAAUAUAAUCGACAAUAUAAUAAUGCAGUUGGUUAAAAAUUUGAUGAAUGAUAUAUGACUUUGAAGUUCAAGGUUUAGUUUAUUAGUUUAUUUAAUAGAGUGGAUAACUCAGGUUAAAUAAAUAAAUUGUCAGUUUUGAUAACCCUAGUAAAUUUUUUUUUAUCUAGAUUAAUUAGGUCUGAAUAAAGCUUCGACGUUAAAUCUAGAGUUUUGGUGACGAGAAUUAGUGGGAAUACAGAUGUUUUCACUAGGACGGCGUGGACAAUUCCCAUAUAUAGAAUCACUAUCACAAAGUGAAAAUAAAGUGAAAUAACUUUUAUCUAAUUCAACCGACCGUCUCUAGAGUAAGUGGCAAAAGGUUUGAUGGUUGAUAUCCGAGACCCAAGUUCGAAUCCUAGUUGAUUCACAUUUCUAGCUAAGUUUAUUUCUAAAUGAAAUAAAUGAAGCGGGUAACGUGCUAUUUAUCUCUCAAAAAAAAAAAAAAAAUUUUUAUCUAAUUCAAAGCAAGGAUAGUUGAUAUCUUUAUUAAGUGUGGACAAUAUAUUUUUUUCCUGUAUUGUGAAUCAAAUCUCAAGAAAAAGUUAACACGGCAAUUCAAAUCUCGAGAAAAAGUUAACCCAGCAAUUUACGAUCCGCUCUGGUAUUAAGUAUAUCCAAUAAGAUUUAACACAAAGAAUAUCACAAAAAAAAAUAUUUUAAUUAAUUAAAUUAGUGCAAUAUGCAAUGACACAUUAUCACUUGCAAAAUAUUAUUGUACUAUUGUCUUUUCUCAUGGCGCGCAACGCGAACCUUGGUGUUGGACGUCACGCAAGAUUUAGGGAUGCAAAUGGUUCCGGAUCGGUGGAGUUCCCGUCCCGAUCUGUUCCGAAUGAAGCUGUAAGUGGAAACAAAAAAUAUAAAAACAUAUAACCUGCUUCGAAUUAGUCCCAAUCCGCUAAGUAAAUAGAGUGGAAGGCGGGAGGCCCUUUUCUUCCUUCAAUCCGUCCGAAUUCGUUAAAAAUCCGCUAAAGAUUUGCUCCCGUUCUGAUCCGCCUCAAAUAAGAUGGUCAGUGAGAGCCCAAAAAAAAAAUAAUAAUAAUAAUUCGUCCUAAAUCCGUUCCGUCCCGAUAAGAAAUAAAACGGGGGUGGAGAAAUCCUUCCAUCUCUGGAUCCGCACCGUUAGCAUCCCUAGUUAGAUUAGGGCAGCUGAUAAGCAGAGUAGAGCUUUUGGUGGCUGGUGAACUUAAAUAUAAAAAAAAAAAAAAAAAAAAAAAAAACAGAGAGAAAAAAAAAGAGCAGGAAGAGAAACUAAGGUGGUGAAGGGUCAUUGUCCGUGACGUAAAGAAAGUACCUACCUAGUAGCUUUUCUUUCCUUGUUGUGCAACCGACCCUCAGCGUCGUCGUAGAUGUGUCGUGUUCGUAAUGACUUGGGAUCCUUUGCGAGUGGUCUCCACCCCUACGCAUGACUAGAUAAUUGUAUCCAUAUCCAAUAUCCGAUCAUCACUAUAGUCCAACCCUAUGGCUAAAAGAAGCGCUUAUCAUCACUUGAUAUAUAACUGCAGUGUCGUCACGGAACUGAAUGCUGCUCUUCCCGUGAUAAGAAGAAACGUCACUAUACAAGCUGAUCGGAUAAGACUUUUUUUUCUUUUCUUUUUUUUUCUUUCGUUUUUUUAGGUACGUACAUGUUCUUCUUUCAUUUCUUUUAUUAGGUACAAGAUAUGUGCACCUAUAAUGCACGUUACGCACAUGUGACAAUGCACAAUAAAUUAUUAUAAUUUUUUAAAGAAUAUUUGAUAAUUUUAAAUUACCGAAUUAGAGAGUAAUAAACAUAAAUAAAAUUCAAAUAGGAGCUAAUUGCACCGGUCACCAAUUAUUACUGGAUUAUUAGUUAUUAUUUAUUUUUAAUUAAAUUCUUACUUUUAAAGAUGCAGUUAAAUUUGACAUAAUCAGUAACGUCUGUGCCUGCUAAUAUUUGUAAUGUUAGUACUAAUUGUUAUCACUUGCCAAUUAGUAUUAAUAUAAUAUGCUUUACCCAAUUUUAAAAUAUUAAAAUUGAGGAAUAUUAAUUAUAAAACAAAAAAAAUUGCAGUGACAUCUCAAAAUGGUGAUAUAGAAUUUUCUAGACAGGAAAAGGAGGACAAAGGACGAGAGAGAGAGAGAGAGAGAGAGAGAGAGAGAGAGAGAGAGAGAGAGAGAGAGAGAGUUAAAAAGAAAGAACAUGUUAUUAAUUUAUACUACUUAUAAAAGUAUGAGUUUUGAAUUUUUUUCUCUUUCCAAAAAUACUUCUAUCCUUUUACUAAUAUUUUCAUGUCUAAUAAUUUUUAACCAAUCAUUUCAAAUAAUUUAUAAAAUAAUAAUUCAUUCUCAAAUAAAGAUAUUAAUUUUUUACCAUUAGAUCUUAUCUAACGAUUGAAAAUAAAAGUAUCUGUCACUUUUUGUGACAAUAAUACCCUUACAUUUAUAUCAAAUUUUCUAUCUACGCAUUUCUCAAAUAUUUUCCUUCUCACGCAUAAUAUCCGUACCCAUCAAUCCUUUCUCAACGUAAUAUUUGUAAAUUUAUCAAAUAUCUCAUUAAUCAACCUAUCAUAUACAUCAACCACCUACAUAAUAUCCGGUUAACUUUUCUCACACAUAAUAUCCAUGCGUUUUUCAAAUAUCUCAUCAAAAUUUUAAUCCUUUCACUACAAGAAAUGACAGUAUUGGUGGCAAAAAUAAUGUGGCGACAAAUUUUGUCGCCACUAUAUAGUUACUUAUUGUGGCAAUAAAAAAAAUUGCCACUGAUUAGUUAACUAAAAGUGGCAAUACUACUUUCGCCAUUGAAUGACUAUUUUAUAGCCACUAUUUAGUUAUCUACGGUGGCGAUAAAACAAAUGGCCACCGAUUAAUUAACUUAAAGUGGUGACACUACUUUUGCCACUAAAUAAUUAUUUUGUCGCCACUAUGUAAGGACUGAGAUUUUUUUUUACUGUGCUGCUAAACUCUCUGUUGACGAUGUUUAUAUGUGUAAUUUAAUUACAUAAGCACUUAUCAAGUUUCAGGAGAAACUGGGCUAAAACGGAGAAAUUACGCGAUUUUUAGUUUUCACUUAAGUGAAUAGUAACUCCGGUUUUUCAGUGAAGCCACGGAGUAGAGCUGGCUAUCGGCGUGUACCGGAUUCCGUUCAUAGCGAUCCAAUAGCUCGUUUCGACCGGUUCAGCUGUUCUGGAACUAUUAGCGUUGACGGAUUUUGAGUUUGACGCACGGAUUUCGAGAAAAUCCAAAAAUACGUGUUUUAUAUGUAUUUUGUGCGUAGUUUCUUCUGUUGGAGGGAGGAACGGAUUUCGUUGCGAAUCCGUGAUCGUUCGAGGUGAACCAAAAUCGUAGCUUUGUUGUCUCUGAGGUGCUGAUCGUACUGGUGCGAUCCAGUCGCAAAUCUGAUGGACGGAUCUGCGGAGAUCGCGCGUUGAUCGAGGAUAGGUCGGUGUUGGCAAAACGAUAUUUUCGCAAAAGUCGCGACAUUUUAUGUACCGAAUCGCGUGAAACCGGACGUGGAGGGGUAUCCGCGCGAUUUACCCACGCUGUGAGGGACUCGGAUAGAAUUGUUGAGUCUUGGAGGACUAUUUUGCAACUUGGACCUAUGUAAAUAGUAGUUACACUAGGGUUUCAUGAGAAAACCCUAGCUUUUGGCCUUCUCCUUAGCCGAACCUACCCUAGCCGCCCCACCUGCAAUUCUGCCCUCCCCGUGCUCAUGCUCCGGCCGCCGGCGAUCACAUCCGGCAGCCGGAAUUCCCUGCACCACCUCUCUCUCUCUCCCUCUCGGCCAACCACUCCCCCGCAUCGUGGUUACGAACCCAGGAAGUCACCUAGGUCCGAGCACCAUCAUCCCCGGGCAGAGACCAACCUCCGGCACCGUCGCCGGACGAUGCCGCCGUCGGCGCGCGUCGCCGGAACCAGCAGAGCUAGCCGCGGCCAGCCUGGGCCAACCCUGGCCGAGCCGACUGCAGCUCGGUGCCUGCUUGUUGGAGCCGCCCUAGAUCGGCCGCCCCGACUUCCUCCGGCCUCUGGCGACCUCCGGCGCACCUCCCCGUCGCCCCCGCGCACCUCCGGCCGCCGCUCGGGCAGCCUGCUGCUGUCCAGACCGGAUCGGGCCAAGUCUGGGCGCACUCGACCUCCGCGCGUCGCCGCCGCCCACCGACGGACGCGCUGCCACCUCUUGGACCUCCAGCGACCUCCAGUUGCCGCCGGCGACCUCCCGUGUGUGUUUCCCGACGUCCCCGACCAACGCCGGCCGCCGCCCGAAGCUCUCGCAGCCGCCCAGACCCGUGCGGGCCGAGGUCGGGCCCGCUCGGCUUUCAAGCGCCGCCGCCGCCCACCGGGGGGUGCACCACCUCCUCCUCGACCUCCGGCGACGAACCAUCGCCGCCCCGGGCUCCUCCGGCCGCCGCUUCACCGCCAGCGCCCUUGAACCCGAGAGGAACUUGGCGGACUUGAUCUCCGCCGCCGCGCCACCGGCCACCUCCCGCCGCCGGCCAGCUGGUGCCCCGGACCCCUUCGACCUGCCGCACCCUUCCCCGGCCGGACCGCCCGCCGUCCGGCCACCGCCGGCCAUGCCCUAGCUCCUCCAAGCUCCGGUAAGCUUAGUUUAGUUUCAGCACACUGUUUAGGGUUCGGAUCGCGGUUCCAGCGAUCCGAGGGCACUCCGAUGCUACUGGAGGUGAGCAUGAUGAUACUGAGUUAGUGAGGAUCAUCGUGAUCACCUCCGUAGGGGUCAACGAUGCGCCGGUUUGCGUGUUAGACGCGAUUUAGAUACCAUGCGCGCUGUUUCGCUGAAGUUCGCUUCAUGCGUGCGCCCUCCACAGUGGCCGGAAUUGCUCCAAAAGGUGAGCACGGCCUCCGGCACGUCGAGACCUGUCAGUAGGUGUCUCGGUUUGGCUGCAUGACUCCUGGUUUGGGUAGACGGACCAUAAAAGCGCCGAAAUCGCAUGAAAUAAUGCGAUUUCGGGUAAUCGGGAGGGCUUUUAUGCAAUUUGAUUUGUCGUAGCUGCUGUUGGCAGCAUGGGUGAGCUGUGGGUGACCUCUGGACUGAUGGUCCAAGGCCCCGGACCUUUGCGAAGAUCGGAAAUGUAUUUCCGGUGCGUUUGUCGGCAAAAUCCGCCGACGGAACGCGGUUUUGGUUCGGAAUUAUUCCGACGGUGCUUCGUGAGCUAUUGUGUGGUCGCUGAGCCUUAUUGGCUGGUCACUCGCAUCAUUUCGAGAGUUCAGAAAUGACGGGUGAGCGACGGUGGGUUCCGGUGUCGAAAUAGACACUUCCGGGAACCCGGAUCCGAACAAUUAUCCACCAAUAGUUGUUUGGUUGUGUAUCCUUGUGUUUGCUGCCUUGUCACACUAAAAUAAGUGUUUAGUGGCAGCGAAUGACUCGUGGCAUGAGUCGGUGCCUUCCGGGAUAGUUAGUGGGUCCCGGCGGAGUCCCGGUGCGAUUCUCGGGACUUCCGGCGAGUUACGGUAAUCGGUAUUGGGAAACCGAUCUACGUGGGAUUGUUUGUGGGUUAUGCUUUUAGGGUUUCUUAGCUGUGGGUUAGACACUAACCCAGUGGACCCUCCUUAGGUCCGGUUGACGUUCUUUUGCAGUCAGGAGACAGGCGCGACAGUUGUACAGGUGGGUACUUCGAUCCGACGUCGGUACAGUGGUGCACGUUCGGUGAUGGUUUCUUACCCUUGCUCCUUUGUUAUUAUCCAUGCAUACGUUAUAUAUUGAGCUUUGCACCUCUGUUGUUUACAUUACACCCACGUUGUUUGAUUAUACUCUACUCGUUGUUUGCAUGUUUAGUACCCUGAGUAGGAGUAGAGUAGUUCUAUCUGCAUCCGUAUCGGUUGACCUAGUUGGUCUGUUGAGCAUCCGUAUCUGUUGACCUAGUUGGUCUGUUCUGCAUUCCUCUACGCAGUUAGUUCCAUAUUGAUAUCAUGCUUAGGAGUAGAGUUGACUUAUCGGUUCACUAUAUCUGUGAUUUGAUUGGGCGGUUCCCCUAUUUUGAUAUCUAUGACCUAUUCGGUCGAGUUGCUACAGUUCUAUCUUGACACACGUAGCCGAUUAGUUGCUGAUGGCCCAUACGGUCGGUGUGCCCUGAGGGGCUGGAUUGUCGGCUAGUUGCCGAUGGAUGACCUUUGAGCAUACUACAUUGAUCACCACUGCAGGUACGCAUUUCACGAACACCAGCGGUCUGAUCCACCGCAAGAGGGUGUUCUUUUCCGGAAAAGUGGUUGGAUUGCCAACCCGUGAGCCCAGGGGCUUUAUUGCGAGGGUAUAUGCUUCUGACCCAGGGGCUUCAUUGCGAGGGUCAGGUACUGUGCUUCUGACCCAGGGGCUUCAUUGCGAGGGUCAGGUACAGGUUGAGCAGCGUGGCAUGGGCCUGAGGUCUUCGGACCAAUAGGGCAGCGAGAUUGGGUACUUUUGAGCUUAUCGUCAGUUGACGCAUGCAUACAGUAGCUGUAGUGUUUAUUCUCAGUACAUCCUUAUCUGUGUAUUGUAGCUACUGUUUUAUUUACCUGCAUCUAUACUUGUCAGCUCCUUACUUAUCAGCAUCUUUACUUACCUGCACUUAUGUCUAUCUAGUUCUCCGUGUUGUUGUAUAGCUCUCUUCCUGAUCCGGUGAGUACUCCUCGCCUUCUUCGGCUUGCGGUACCCACUGGGAGGGGAGACAUGUUUACAUGUUCUCACCUCCCCCACCAUUUUUCAGGUAUCGCGGGCGAUGAGUAGUGGGACGAGACGUGAGGUACGUGUGUAGCGGUCGAUAGAGCUUCCGACCCAGGUUAUUUCGAUUUAGUUAUUAUCCUUGGUAUUUCUGUUGAUAUAUAGUUUAGUUAGUUUAUGUGGUUCAGUAUUUAUUUACAUUUGAAAAUGUGGAUUUCUGGAUUUUGUAAAAUAAAAGGUUUUCUACCCCUCGUGGUAGCGUUUUUAAAAGAAUAAAGGUUUCUGUGUAAGAAACAGUUUUCAAAAGAUUUUUGCGGAUUUCUGUUUAAACCUUGAAUGUAAAACUGUGAUGUGAAUGGUGAAUGUAUAAAUGUAUAGUUAUUUUUUAUAUUCAUCUGGUUGUGGUUGUAUCCUGGUUGUACUGUGUAUUGGAUCGACGCCGUGCAAAUACAGGGGAGACUCUGUCCGUGUGAUCAGUGGAUUCCCUGUAUUUGUGGCGGAUCUGGCAUACUCUGGGGUCAGGUUUUCAAAAAAAAAAAAAAAUUUCAGACGCUUUUCCGUUUUAUUUUAAACUGAAAAGGGACCCCGGGGCGUGACACACUAAAUCGUUAUUUAUGAUGGCGAUAAAAAAUAUUGCCACUGAUUAAUUAACUUAAAGUGGCAAUAUUACUUUCGCCACUAAAUGAUUAUUUUAUCUUCAUUAUUUGGUUACCUAUAGUGGCGAUAAAAAAUUUUUGCCACCAAUUAAUUAACUUUAAGUGACGAUAAAAAAAUUUUGCCACCAAUUAAUUAACUUUAAGUGGCAAUACUACUUUCGCCACUACAUGACUAAUUUUUUGCCACUAUUUGGUUAGCUAUAGUGAUAAUAAAAAAAAUUGAUGCAUAUUAUUAAUAAAAUUACAAUAAAAAUAAAAUAUUUAAAACGUUUAUAUCAAAAUAAUGUAUAGUGAAGGUGAAAAAACUGUAGUUGUUAAAAAUUGACGGUGAAAAUGUACAGAGACACCUUCAACAUCAGAUCAUUUUGAAAUUGCUCUAUGAAUUUUAAUUUUAUUUUGAUUAACAUCUCUGAACUUUUUUUGAUUAUUUUAUUCUAGUUAAUUUAGUUAAAAUUUUAAAUUCAAGAGCUUUAUUAAUUAGUGUUUACCUAUUAAUUAUUUUCAUUUAUUUUUUAAAAAUUAAUUAAAUUUAACUUAAAUAAAUAAAUAAAUUACAAUUUAUUAAUUAAAUUAAUUUUUAAUUUUUAAUUUUUAAAAAUUAACUUAUUAAAUUUAAAAAUUAAAUUAAAUUAUUAGUUAAUUAAAUUAAAUUAAAUUUUUUAAAAUUUAAUUAAAAUGACUAAAUUUUAAUCAAAUUUAAUCUCCAAACAAAAAUUAUAUGGUGAAUGAGGCCAAACAAAUUCUUCAAACCCGAAACCCGAAACCCGAUACCCGAAAUCCGAAACCCGAUGCCUUUCACGCUCGUCGACCUCCUCUUCCUCGUUUUCGUCUUCCUCUUCCUGUUCUUCUUCACCCCCCCAACUCUUUUCCUCUUUUCCCCUUCUCCACCCAAAAACCCUAGCAUCCUCCUCUUCCUCCUCCUCUCUCUCGUCCUCUCCACCCCCUCCUCGUCCAUGGCGCAGAGCAACAACAGUGCCAUCCCCAUCACCGAGCAGUUCUAGUCCCUCGUCGAUAAGGCCGAUCGCCGCUUCUCCUGCGUCCGCGAUCGCCCCUCCCACAACCGCAAUUGGUAAACCCUAACCCCCUACCUCCCCCAAACCUCUCACUCCGAACCCUAAUUCGAUCCCUCUUCGUCUUCUUCUUCUUGUUUUUCGAUCCAGGGACGACGGGACUUCCACAAGGCGUUCAAGCUCUACACGCGGCUGUGGAAGGCGCGGCGCUCACCGAGGCCGGGAUGCGGCGGUGGGAGGUGGGCGAGAUCGCGUACCGCAUCGCCCAGCUCUACUACGGCUAGUACCGCCGCACCAGCGACUCCUCCUACCUCGCCGAGGCCUUCGUCUUCUACGAGGCCGUCCUCGACCGCGAGUACCUCCGCGACGCCCCCUCCGCCGCCGCCUCCGAGGUCGCCCUCGCGCACAAGCAGCUUCGUCUCCUCGUAAGGUUCCUCAAUGUUUCGCUCGUCCUCGGGUGCCGCGAGAUGGUCUUGCGGCUCGCAUCGCUCCUCCGGAUCAUUCUCGAGGAGCACAGGCGGAGUUUUCAGGUAUACAACUGUUUGUCUCUUUGUACAUUGUUGUUCAUUUAUAUAUCUGCUCUUCAUAAUUCAGCUUGAGUUGUUUGAUAUAAUUAUAGUUUCAUAGUAUUAGUACUUCUUUGUUCUCACAUGCUGCACCAAAGUAUUGCGGAAUCUUAUGGCAACUCUUUUAUAUAUAUAUAUAUAUAUAUAUAUAAUUGAGUUACUGGUUUGAUUUGUAUUCAUGUUCCUUCUCAUAUCCAAGUUGUAGCUGCAUUCGUUUAGUGUUUGAUUCAUAUCAUAUUCAGACCCUAACCAUUUAAUAUGCGUUUUGUUGCACAUUCCUAUCUGUAUCUAUAUUUAGAUUGAUGGUAUUGAAUUGUGGUGUCCGUUUAAUAUAUCUAUGCCUUGUAGAACUGUGUUGAGCAUUAUUUGAUCAUGUUUAACGGUGCCGAUCUUCGAUUUGGAGGCUCCAUCAUCGAAAACAAAUGGGUGGCAACGGAGCCCGUUUGCUACCGAUAGUAUUCUAGCUCAACUCUCUAUCUCUCUCUCUAACUGUUCUUGCACAAAAUAUGUGAUUGAUAGAGGUUAAGUGCUAAAGAUCUAACCAUUGAGGGGCUUAAAUUUACGUUCUUUUUUUUCAAAGGGUCAGAGUACAAAUAACAAUAUUUUCAUAGGUUUUUUUUCCGUAUUUUAGUCCAUACAUAAUUUGUUAGUGGUCUUCUUUCUUUAGUGGUGGGUUCUAAAUUUGACGAUAUUUCCAGGUUCAACGUAUAUUAUUCCUUGCGAUUUGGUACCAUUUACAAGAAGACCUCUGUUUCUGGUGAUUGACAGUAAAUGCAGCCACGCAUUCAAGGCAGGUUUUCUAAUUCUUUUGGUCCUAAUCAUAAUUUUUGGAGCAUCAAAUUAGUCGCUCAUUUCCUUCGAUAUUGUUUCAGACAUGUAUAUCUACUUUAAGUUGUUUUUAAACAGUUUAACUGACCAUGCUCUAUGUGAAUUUCAUCAUGUAUUUGGCAUUUCACAUAGUUCUUUGAGAGAUCUUCUUUGUACUCCGCUUUUCGAUUUUAAUAAAGUAUUUGCUCCGUCUUCGCCUGUGGACGUAGGCCGUUGGCCGAACCACGUAAAUAUCGAUGUAUUCUUUCCUUAUCUUUUUUUUUCUUACAUUAAAUUAUUUUCUUGAUCUAUUUUUUCGCCGUUCCGAUUUUAACAAUAAAUGGGUCAGAGAAGGGAGAGACGGCAGCUAUGCUUCUUUCCCCAAUCUCUCAACCUCCGACAGCUGCGGCUGGCGAUGAUUCUUCUCGCUCCCAAAAUGGUAGCCAAUUCACAAUGUUCCUCACAGCACCGUUGCAAGCUUUCUGCUUCUUGAUUGGAAUUUCGGGCACGAAUAUCAACAAGGUAUUUGUGCGUCCGUACCUUGUUUUCUUCUGUUUAAUUUCUUUUAUCAUUAUCUUCUUCCAGAAGUGUAUCUGUAAUUUCUGGUGGCAAAUGUUGCAGGAGAAAUAUGUUGCGGCUGAAAAGCUACUCUCAUUAUCCUUGAAGGAAUGGGAAACGACUUUGGUGGCGUCCGACGCUCUCCAUCCGGUCUGGAUUCAAGCAUUGGGUGAUCCCUUUUUAAGGCGAUUCAUCCUCAGGUUAUAUCUGAACCUAUUUAAUGGAAAAGGUGAAAAUGUAUGAUUUGUUGCUUUUAUUAAUCAUUUUAUUUAUCUAAUUUAUUAUGUUAUUUUUUGACUAAUCAUAUACUUUUUGAUAAAGGGACCCCGUGACUCAAGUGGAGCCAAAAAUGACAGACUAUUGGAAAGCAACGCAUUUACGACAUAAUGGAGAUUGGAUGGAUGGUCGAUCAAAGGAUGUUAUGGUGAUUAUACUAAUGUUAUUACUUGCUUACCUAGCUUAUAUUUAUCUUGAUACUAAAUACAUUAUUCCUGGACUACAGAAUGUGCAUUCUGCAUCAUCAACAUCAGAUGGCUAUCCUAUCAGUAUAAAUACUAGUAUCCACGGUCGUUUAGUUAAAUCGUCGUCAAGUACAAUAAUAGUACGGGUUUAAGUUGUAUUUGUUCAUAAUACGGUUAAGCUAGUAAUAAUCUAUUACACACGAACAGAGAGACGUAAAUUUAUGUAUACGUAUGUUUGUAUUUAUUUAUGCCGGUAAUGUGUAUUGGUGGUUAAAUGUGUGUACGUAACUACGUUUUUACGCGUACCUAAUUUCCGUACGUGUCUUUGUUCGUACGAAGAUGCUUAUACAAGGGCACCUCUUGAUCUAGCAUAUAAUCUUGUAUAUAAUAUAGACAGUACACUGUAAGUACGUAAUUCUUUUUUAAAUGUUUCGUAUGUUUCUCUUAGGUGUUAUUUUAACCGUACCGUCUUGUUAAGAGGUUCGAUCAUUCUGUUUGUGCCAAUUCCGUAUGUACUCAUCCUUUAAGGGCUGGUUUUUCAUACACAUGUUAUGUCUUACUCAUCAUGUAAGUUUUGACCUUUCAUAUUUUUAUUAUAACUUUUAGUAGUUUUUAUUUCUUCCAGUUUUAACGUAAAAAGUUACAGGGUAAUCUUAACAUCGUUGUUAGUAUGGAAUUUGGGAUAUAGAUGAGUAGAGUAACAUACACAGUUUCUUUGUUUAUUUUACGUUUGGAACGUUACUGAAAAUUUGAAGAACCGUUCCAACAGAUCCUCGAUCAACUCCGGGAGAGGGGAGAAACACUUGGAUGUUAGUUAAUUUUAUCUCUAAAUCUAUCAGCUAUUUAUUUUGAAUUUAAGUUAACUGAUUAUAUUCGUUAUCACNACAUAGUUUUGACAAUUGUCUAUUUUGUUAAUAAUUCAUUAAAUCAAAAAUUCAAAAAGACAAAUUGUUUGUGUAUCCAACUAUGCAAAAAAUAUUCUAACUUGUUGUAGAUUGUUUAAUGUAUAUACUUUUCUUUUAUUUCUUUUAUUUGUUGCAGGAAAUGAAUUGCUGUUGAAAUAGGAGCUGAAGCAUUUUUUUUUUAUCGUUUUUAAAUAUUUUCUAUUUUUAAAGUUGAGAGAGUUAGGAAUGAUGUUGAAUUGUAUAUCGAAUAUUAUUACUCUAUUACCUUUAAAUUGACUUUGCUAUUAUUUUGUUUUUAAGCUGUUGUGAAUUAGAAGUCAAUUAGCCUUUUAAAUUGUUGUUAAAAUAAUAACUUUGUUUACUUUAAUAUUUUGUUUGUUAUUUUGUAUAUGUUCUGUUUAUAAAAUAUGAGCUGUAUAUUUUUAUAUUUAGUUUAUUACCUUUUUAUUAUUGGUGGUCAUUUAUUGCACAGUUGGUGGCGACAAAAAGUUGCAUUUUUAUUUUUAAUUAAGGUGGCGACUGUGAUGGUUGCCACUUAAGGUAAUAUUUGGUGGCGAAAAUGUAUUGCCAUCUUAUCUCCAUAAAAAAAUGACGACUAAGAAGGGCCACUAAAAAGUCAUAUUUGAUGGCGACAAUAUGUCGCCACUCUAUCUUUAAUAAGGUGGCGACUAAUAAUUGCCACUAAAAGUCAUAUUUGGUGGCGAUAAAAUGUCGCCACACAAUCUUUAAUAAGGUGGCGGCUAGCAAUAGCCACUAAAAGUCAUAUUUCGUGGCGAUAAAAUGUCGCCACGCUAUUUUUAAAAAGGUGGCGAUUUUUCAUGCUUCGCCAUAAUUUCAUUUAGCGGCAACACUUUCGGUGGCAGCUUAUGGCGACUUUAAAAGUCGCCACCUUUUAAAAAGGUGGCAACUUUUUAUAUAUAUGGUGGCGACAUUACUCGCCAUCAAUAUAUAAUAUUCUUGUAGUGUUUCUCUUCGUUUCUCAAAAAAAUUUUCAACCUAUCAUAAUUUUGAAUUAAAUAUAUCAUCGCAUUUGAAUUUAAAUAUUAAAAUGGAUCAAAAUAAAAUUUUAAAUUUUAAAUUUAAUAUGAAUUUUAUUACGAAAAUAUCUCUAUCUUUUUAACUAAUUUUUUCAUGUCCAGAAAUUUUGAGUUCGUCAGAAACAUAUAAUAUCUCUAUUAUCUUCGCAUUUGAACUUAAAUCUUAAAGUAGAUCAAAAUUAAAUUUUGAAUUUUGAUUUAAACAUGAAUUUCUUUCCGAAAAUGUCUCUAUCUUUUUUACUAAUUUUUUCAUCGUAAAAAAUUUUGAACCAUUUAUUUUAAAUAAUUCAUUAAAUUUUGGAAAGUGGAUCGAAAUUAAAUUUUAACUUUUAAAAUUAAACAUAAUUAAAAUUUUAAUUAUCUAGAAAAUACCUUAAUACUUAUCCAUCCCCAAUUUUAUCUUAUCAUAAUACUUAUCCAUACAUAAAGUAUAUCUUAUUUUAAUAUUUUCUCAUCUCCAUCUAUACGUUUCUUAAAUAUAAUAAUAAAGUAUAUCCUUUUUCAUUUUCACUAUACGUUUUCUCAAAUAUAUUAUUUUAGUAAUAUUUUAUUCGUUCCUCAUCGUUGUUCUCGGUCACCUUCGCGACAGUUGGAAAGGUAUUUUGCUCCACCUAAUUCAUUUUAAGAGUUGAGCUAUGAUACUUUUACAAGUAUCACCAUCAUGAUGCUAUUAGGUUUUAAGCCAUUGGAUUUACUUUUUGAUUAUUAAUAGCCCUUGGAUUAAACACUGUUCCACCUACCACCAUCUACCACCAUCUACCACUAUCAUCUCAACCUCACAUCUCUCCAUCCAAGGGCUAAAAACACACAAGUAUCACCCCCAUGAUACUUUUACAAGUAUUCUAGCCCUACUCUUCAUUUUAAUGUGUCAUAAUAUAAUUUCCUACUCAAUACGUCUUUCGUAUACUUUGUUUUACUUUUUAAGAUUUUUAAAUGCUAAUAAAUGUGCAUCUUCAUGACCUUUUAUCUCUCACAUUAAUUGCGCAAAUCAUCAGUAUAUUUUUUUUAGUAAUAUCUUUUUUUCAUUUUCACCUGUAUUUUUUUCAAAUAUUGUCAAAUAUUUUUUUUACUAAUAUUCUUUCUCAUUUGUCCCCGUCGCUGGCACCAGUAUAUCGUCAUCGCCGACACCGAUAUGUUGUCGCCUUCGUCACUUUUGUCACAUUUGGAGAGCUAUUUUGAUCUAAACUGAUUUUUUUUUUUAAUAUGCUUUUAUACUAUUUUAGUAUAUCUAUUUUUUAGUAUUUUCUCAUUUACAUUUAUACAUUGGCACCGGUAAAUCGUUAUCGUCAUCGCCGAAAACGGCAUAUUGUCGCCUUCACCAUCUUUGCCACAUUUGGAGAGGUAUUUUGAUCUAAACUGAUUUUUUUUUUAAUAUGCUUUUAUACUGUUUUAGUAUAUCUUUUUUUUAGUAUUUUCUCAUUUACAUUUAUACAUUUAUCAAAUAUAAAAUAUAUAUUUUGGUGGUAAUAUCUUUUUUUCAUUUUUAUCUAUAUUUUUCUUAAAUAUUCCAAAUAUUUUUUAGUAAUAUCUUUUUUCAUUUGUUCCCAUCGCCGACACCAGCGCAUCGUUAUCGUUCUCAUCAUCGACAUCACCAGCGCCGGCACAUUGUCACCUCGGCCAUCUUUACCACAAUUAGAAAGGUAGAUCCCACUUAAUUUUUUUUUUAAUAUGUCUUUAUACUGUUUUACGUUUUAAGUUUUUUUCAUGACUUUUAUCUCUUCUAUUGAGAUUGUGGCUUAAGAGAUUGUAGCUAAACUUAAGUAUAAGCAGAAAAAUUAUUAUUUGGGUACCUUAAAUUAUUUUUUUUAAUAUGUCUUUAUACUGUUUUACGUUUUAAGUUUUUUCAUGACUUUUAUCUCUUCUAUUGAGAUUGUGGCUUAAAAAAUUAUGGUUAAACUUAAGUAUAACCAGAAAAAUUGUUAUUUGAAAUUUGGAUUGCUUAGAUUAAAUAUGGGUAAAACUGUUUAAUUUCGGCCUAUAGCGUAUUUAGAUUUAUACUUACGAUUGUGAUAAUUUACUGGGCUAAAUAAACGAAUCCACAAAAAAAAGAAAAUAUGUAGAUAUAUUUAAUUGAUUUGGGCUUGAACUUGCUUAGCUUGUAAUUUGGAUUUGAAAUUGUUUAAAUCUGAUUUGGGUUUGAACUUGCCUGGUUGUACUAAAUUUAUCUAUACUACUUAUAAAAAAGUGAGUUUUUAAUAUUUUUUUUCUUUUCAAAAAUGCUAAUCCCUAUUAAUAUAAUUCUAAUCACAUACUAACAAUAUCAAUAAUUCAACUUUUAUUAGUAUAAAUCAUAGCCGUAUAAUUUAUAUUUUAUUUUCUAAUUAUCAUAAAAUGUAUUAAUUUUUGUGAUCUAAUACAAUGGCCGACCAAUUAAGUAUCUAUCAUUUUUUUUUUAUAUAAAUUGUCCUCAAGCAGUACUUAUUAAAUCCGACCUUUUAUAUAUCUAUCUUAUCUCCUAACAUAACAUCCAUAUUCCAUCUUAUCUAAUAAUAAUUCUCUUUACAAUUCAUACUUAUCUAUACUAUAUAUAAAAGCAUAUAAAAAUUAUAAUAAUGACAUACAAAAUUAAAAAAGAAAUAUAAAAAAUUUCAUGCCAAUGUUUAUGAUUAAUUUGUUAAAAAAAUAUUUCAAAUAAAAACGAAUGGUUAUGAUCAAUCUAUUAAAAAAUGGCAUUCUUAUUUAUCAAUAUAUCAAAAUUUACGAAUGGUUAUGAUUAAUUUGUUAAAAAAUAUUUUAAAUAAAAAUAAAUGGUUAUGAUCAAUUUAUUAAAAAAAAUAGCAUGCCUAUCCAUAGAUUUUACAUUAAAAUUAAAAUUUGAAUUUUAAUCAUAAAUCAUAAAUUGAAUUUAAUAUUGGAUAUCAAAUUUGAACUAAUCAUUAAAAAAUUUUAAUUAUAAUGGAUCAAAAUUAAAUUUAACAAAUUUAUAUUUAUAAAUUUGGAUAUCAAAUUUGAGUUAACAAUUAAAUAUUUAAUUCUAGUGAAUCAAAAUUAAAUUUCAAAUUUCAAAAUAAAUGUGAAUUAAAUUUUGAUGCUUUUAGUUUAAACAAUAUAUUUAAAUUUUAAAUUUAUUAGAAUUUAAAAAAAUAUAAAAAUAAUAUAGAAUAUUGCAGAUAUUUUCUAAUAUAAUAUAACAUAUAAAUUUAUCAAAUAUAAUUUUUAUUGUAUAUUUUAAAUUUUCAUAGUAUCCACUAUCUCUCAAUUAAUUAACUAAAAAUAAAUUAUAUUUGAAAAAUAGAGUGAUUAAAAAAUAAGCUUAUCAAAUCGAUUUUAAAUUUUAUGUUUGCUUCAUAAUUUCAAACGUGAAUCCAUAAUUUAAUUUAAAAUUAAUUUAAAAUUUUAAUAUUUGGCUAUAUAAAUAGGCUGUUUCAAAAUGCAAAUAAUUAAUUAUAAAUUUAUAUCUCCAAUAACUAUUUAUAUUCAAAUUAUGGAUUUAAAAUUAAUUUUAAAUUUUAAAUUUUGUUCAAAAAUUUAAAUGUGAAUUCAUUAACUUAAAAAUUAGAAUUAAUUCAAAUUUUAAAAUUUGUAUACACGUCAAAAAUAAUUGUAUAUUAUAAAAUAAAUAUGCAAAGUAUUUAUAGUGUAACUAAAUUAAAAACAUAUAAAACUUAUCCGAAGAUAAAUUAAAGUUAAAAAAAAUUUGAUAAAUAGACUCAUACCACCAAUAACUAUUUAAAUUUAAAAUAUAAAUAUAAAUUUUAUUUGAUUUAAUGUGACGUGCAUUGCACGUGCACUAUGACUAGUAUACCCAAAAAGAGAGGUUCGUGCCAGAAUUUCGUAAAUCUAAAAUAAUUUUAGUACUUGAAAAAAAAAGAAAAUUGACAAGGCAAGGGCUCAAUAUGAACGCUUGGAUAAGGGGUAUAAGAUUUACAUUUAUUUGGGUGCUGUUAGUAUUACUCUAAAAAAAAUAACUAAAAUAUAGAGACACAACUAUAGGCCACUUUGAAAAAGACCUUUCAGGUUGUAUUUAUUUAUUCUUUAAUUUAUACCCUUUUUGUUAAGGAUUUUUUAAGUUAGCGGAUUUCGUGAAGUCGAAUGGAGUCUUGAAGAGAUGAAGAUGAAGGUUGAAGAGAUGAUUUAAGCAAUUCAAGAUCAAAAGACCCAUUCAUGAUGCUCGGAAUCUCAGGUAUGAAUAUUAAUAUGUUGUAGUAAGAUUCCUGGUUCAUAAAUAUGUUUGGAAGACUUAGGAUGAUUUGAAAAUAUAAAUCUGGACAAAACUGAGUUUUUCAAGGCUCGGGGACCGGUCCCUGAAUUGAAGGACCAGACCCCGUAGGUCCUCUCUGCGUGAAGACAGAGAGGGACUAAUCCUUGAAGCAGAGGGGUCCGAUCCCCGUAAGUUGAAUUUUUGAUACGCUAAGAAGGACCGGUCCUCUGGAAUCAAGGACCGAUUUUCGUAACCUGGUUUUCUUGAUACGCAGAGAAGGACCGGUCUUCUGGAGCGAGGGACCGGUCCCCGUAACUUGGUUUUCCUGAUGCGCAGAGAGGGACCGGUCCCCUGGAACGAGGGACCGGAACCCGUAGUGUAAGGUACUGAACUUCUAAAAUUAUGAAGUUGCGGGGUAUGUUGGUUUGGAAAGCUAUUAGAAUGAUUCCGGUGAAGUUCGGAAGCAUUCGGGCGUUUUCGGAGCGCGUAGGCGCAAAAACGGGACCCGAAAGGCUAUGUUGGACUAUGGACUAAAUCCGGCAUUAGCGCAGAUGAAAAGAUGAUGAAAAUACGCUCAAAAACAUGUUUGAAGAGUCUCGGUUCGAUUUGAAAGCAAUCGGAGGCCAAACAAGCGAAAACGAACGAAAACGGAAAAGAAACGAAAAUGGCUGAAAUUUGGCUAAGUCUGGAAAUCUGGACCUACGGGGAUGGGUCCCUCGGCCUCCCUCGGCCAAGGACAGGUCCCUCAGGAACCGGUCCCUCAAGCAAGGACCGGUCCUCGUAGCUCGAAAAUGCCCUGCGUGGGCAGUGCAUAAAACACAAAGUUGAGAGGCUGUUUUGCAGUUGUUGCAUGAGUUGGUGUCACGCCUCGAGCCCGAUCUUUUUGGCCGGUUCGAGAGCGUCGAACAGACGCCGAACGGACAGAGCCUCCCCUGACCGCCCAAGGCUCAACAACAAGUAUUAAUAGAGUAUAAAGUUUGCAUAAGCGGAAGCAUACACAAUGGCUUGCACGAGGGCAAGCAAUAGCCAUUAGUGAAAGAAUCUACUAAAUCAUCACACAAGUAUUUGACUAGAUUUAAAUCACAUACAUGCAUUCGACUUUAAUACAACUUUGCAUCAUUUCUUUUAUACAUCACAAAUUCUCCAAAAUAUGAUCCUUUUUCUAUUUACAUAAAUAAAGUCUUCUACAUCAUUCCUUUAACAUGAUCACAAUACUAACAUCAUCAAGUACAAAAGAUGAUAAUAAGGGGUAUGCAACUAUGAAAAUAAAACAUCUCGGGCCGUCUCUACCUAGAGCGCGAUGCCUUUACCGCGAUCGCCUGCCGGCUCGCUCGGUCCCGGCUCUGUAGAAAUAGGGGUGUGAGAACUACAACAAAGUUCCUAGUGGGUUCGGCAACCAACCACGCCGACUAUCCCACUAGGUCUAAUCAGGCAUAAUAGAAUAGAAGAAAGAAAGUAACCAACUAACAAUGCAACUAAUAUGCCUGAACAAUAUAUAAUGCGAUGCUCGAAAUAAUACUCAUGAUGAAUGCAAGAUCAUAAUUUCUUUACCCAAUCUCUUGGCUAACCCGUAGGUUUCGUCCUCAACAAACUCACCACCCAAAAUCCUAUUAACCGGAGAGAUACCCGCUACAACCCGAUAGGACCGUCCUCUGGGGAGAUACCCGCUACAACCCAGUGAUGUCGACUCCGGAGCACAUCGCCCGAGGGGGAGCUACCACCCUCGAGCAAGGACUAAAGGUGAGUACGAUCAAUCCUACAUUGAGGAUUCCAAGUUCAAUCCAUUCCUUAACUUUAAAGAAGACCAUGCUCAAUGACCCUUAACUCUAAGAUUGCAAUGUCAUAAUAUCUCAAUCAUUCUUUUCUUUGCAUUCUUUACCAACACUAGUGUCAUAUACACUACCAAGUUCUUGUACUCAUGCCACACUUGUUUUCUAAGUGCUAUAUUCUUGUUCUCAUGCCAAAUGCCACACUUAUUUUUCUAAGUAUUCUAGACUCAUCAAUGUCACUCGCUAGAUCUAUGUCCAUGUGUCACUUUUGUUCACUAACCCUUCUAGGUUCUUGUCACUUGUCAUCCAUAAAUAGGGUUAUAAUUCUCACAUUCUUACAAGUAUUUCAUACGAAAUUAAACUCACGAUCAUGCAUAAAUAGGGAGAGGUGUGUGUGUGUGAAUGGCUGUAGAGGGAGAGGGGGUUGGGUAUAUAAGGUGUUGUAACAUUUACAACAAGACCCCUCCACUUUAUUCCCUGUGCACUGCCCAAACUGGGCAUUUUUCGCAGUGAGGGACCGGUCUCCCCGACCUGGGACCGGUCCCCGAGAGCUCCGCCCGCGAACUGCGCAGGCUGCGCGCGAUGCAACCGGUCUCCCUCGAUGGGACCGGUCUCUGGGGGACCGGUCUCUGCUCGCAAGGACCGGUUCCCAAGAGCUGAUUUUCCAGGACUUAGCCAAUUUCUCAGCCACCUCGCUGCCUACGCGUUCGGGGACCAGUCUCUCCCACCAGGGACCGGUCCCCGAGAGCACAAAACCCGCAGUGUGCAGAUUUUGAUUUCUAAAGCUCUCGAAGAUCCCCAGUAAUGUAUUUUAGCAUUAUUUGACGCCUUCGGCCUCUCCGAAGUGUACCAACCUCGCACUUUGGUCAAUUUGACCAAGGUUUGAAUUUAAUCACCGAGGUUUCGGUAUGUUACAUUCUCCACCCCUUAAAUUUAGUUUCAUCCGCGAAACUUACUUAAUUUAGACUUAAACUCAUACCUCAAUUCAGCUCGUUAAAGAGCUGAGGAUAAUGCUCCCGCAUUGCGCUCUCAAGCUCCCAAGUGGCUUCCCGAUCAUCGUGAUUGCACCAACGAAUCUUAACAUACGGAAUCUCGCGAUUUCGUAGUUUUUUUACUUCUCGAUCGAUGAUGUAUGCCGGGAACUCCUCAUAGGUCAUGUCCUCUUGGAUCUCAGACGAUUCAAACGACAAGAUAUGCUCGGGGUCGUGAACGUACUUGCGGAGAUUCGAUACAUGAAACACGUCGUGUACUCCCGCAAGCCUCGGUGGUAAUGCUAUCUUGUACGCCACCGCACCUACCCGCUCCAAUACUUCGAACGGUCCAAGGUAUCGAGGACUUAGCUUUCCACGGAGCCCAAACCAUCUAAUUCCUCGCAUCGGCGAUACUUUUAGAAAGACGUGGUCGCCAACUGCAAACUCUAUGUCUUUUCUCUGCUUGUCGGCAUAGCUCUUUUGCCGGGAUUGCGCCGUAGCCAGCCGCUGGCGGGCGAGGCGAACCUUCUCCUCCGCUUCCCGCACUACAUCGGGGCCGAGAGCUGCUCUCUCACCCACAUUGCUCCAAUGGAUUGGAGAGCAACAUUUCUUUCCAUAAAGGGCCUCGAAUGGCGCCAUCGCGAUACUCUCUUGAUAGCUGUUAUUGUACGCGAACUCCGCCAUUGGUAGAUGAUCGUGCCAACUGCCCUUGUAGUCCAAUACACACGCUCGGAGCAUAUUCUCAAGUAUUUGUAUCGUCCUUUCCGAUUAACCAUCACUUUGAGGAUGAAAUGCUAUGCUAAAGUCGAGCCGUGUGCCCAAGGCCUCCUGUAGGCUUCUCCAAAAAUGAGAUGUGAACCUCGGGUCCCGAUCUGAUACGAUAGACACCAGUACCCCGUGAAGUCUCAUAACCUUGUCGAUGUAUAGUUGAGCCAACUUGUCCCCCGACCAAGUAAUAUGAAUCGGUAGGAAAUGCGCCGACUUCGUCAACCGGUCUACUAUCACCCAAAUUACGUCGUGUCCACCUUGAGAUCGAGGCAAUCCGGUCACGAAGUCCAUUGCGAUAUUUUUCCAUUUCCAAACGGGUAUAGGUAAACUUUGCAACUUCCCCGUCGAAAAACGCCGCUCCGCUUUUACUUGUUGGCAAGUAAGACAUUGCGCAACAAACUCCCCAAUGUCUUUCUUCAUGCCCGGUCACUAAUAAUGCAGUUUCAAAUCUUGGUACAUUUUGGUGCCGCCCGGGUGUAUACUAUAAGGCGAUUGAUGCGCUUCUUGCAUAAUCGCCCUGCGGGUGUCCUUGUUCUUAGGCACGCACCAACGGUUUCUAAACCGGAGUGCACCGUCGGUCCCAAUGCCAAAAUCAUCGGCACUACCGCUCUCAACUUCACCAUGCACCUUUUGGAGAUAAUCAUCGGAAGCUUGCAGCUCUUUUAUCCUCUCCAGCAAGGUCGGUUGCACCACUAACGCGGUAAGUGUAUCUGGCACUCCCGGCUCCACUACUUCCAAUCCAAGCCAUUGCAUCUCCUUUUGUAACAACGGUUAGGGUGUAAUUGCCGAUGCCAAAUUUUCUCCCGAUUUUCUACUAAGUGCAUCGGCCACCACAUUUGCUUUCCCGGGGUGGUAUAGAAUAAUAACAUCAUAGUCUUUCAACAAUUCUAACCACCAUCGCUGCCGUAUAUUUAGCUCCUUUUGGGUGAACAAGUAUUUAAGGCUCUUGUGGUCCGUGUAGAUCUCACAAUGUUCCCCAUAUAGGUAAUGCCUCCAUAAUUUUAGCGCGAAAAUAACCGCCGCUAACUCCAGAUCGUGGAUCGGGUAGUUUUUCUCAUACGUCUUCAAUUGGCGCGAAGCAUACGCUAUAACUCGGCCGUUUUGCAUCAAGACAUACCCGAGUCCUACGUAGAAAGCAUCACUAUAAACCACAAAGGUCUCCCCCGGCGUCGGUAGAGCAAGCACUAGGGUCGUGGUCAAUUUUUCUUUUAGUUCCUCGAAGCUCCGCUCGCAUUCGGGGCUCCAAACAUACUUCACCCCUUUGUGCGUAAGACGCGUUAGUGUAGUAGUUAUUUUAGCAAACCCCUCUACGAACCGCCGGUAAUAGCCCGCUAGCCCAAGGAAACUGCGGACCUCCGAUACGCUCGUUGAUCGAGGCCAAUCUCUAAUUGCCUCAACUUGCUUCGGGUCCACCGAGAUACCAUUGCCCGAAAUUACAUGACCAAGGAAAGUGACCUCCGAUAGCCAAAAGUCGCAUUUCUUCGACUUGGCAUAUAACUUCUCUUUUCGGAGUAUUUCCAACACGGUCCUUAAGUGCUCCUCGUGUUGUUCCUCGGUCCGAGAAUAUACCAAUACGUCGUCAAUGAAUACCACGACGCAACGGUCCAAUAGCGGACGGAAGACCCUAUUCAUUAAGUCCAUAAAUGCCGCCGGGGCGUUAGUAAGCCCAAACGGCAUCACCGUGAACUCAUAAUGGCCAUACCGCGUACAGUACGCCGUCUUGUGCACAUCCUCGGGCCGUAUCUUCAACUGAUGAUACCCCGACUGAAGGUCUAUCUUCGAGUACACCCUCAACCCUUGCAAUUGAUCGAAUAAAUCGUCAAUCCUCGGCAAUGGGUACUUGUUCUUCACUGUGACCUUAUUCAACUCGCGGUAGUCCACGCAGAGUCGAAGUGUGCCAUCUUUCUUUUUAACAAAUAGCACCGGAGCUCCCCACGGUGACACGCUUGGCCUCACGAAGCCUUUGUCGAGCAAGUCUUGCAACUGUGCCUUAAGCUCUUUUAGCUCCGCGGGUGCCAUUCUAUACGGGGCCUUCGAAAUUGGAGCCGCCCCGGGUACCAAGUCAAUAAUGAACUCGAUUUCCCAGUCCGGUGGCAAACCCGGUAACUCCACCGAAAAUACGUCCGGAAACUCACACGCCACCCGAAUACCACUAAGUUCCGAGCGCUCCUUCGGGGCUUCUACCACUGUCGCCAAAUAGGUUUCACAACCACCUCUUAUCAUUUUCCUCGCCCGUGCCACCAACACGGUCGCCGCGAAGAGCGAGCUUUUAGCUGCCCGAUACACUAGCUCCUCUCGAUUAGGCUCACGAAACGUGAUUACCUUACUUUCGAAAUCUAUCACAGCAUAAUACUUGGAGAGCCAGUUGGUCCCCAAGAUCACGUCGAAACCCCACAUUCGAUUCAACACCAACAGGUCGAUCGGCAUAACCCAAUCACCUAUCUGCACUGGGCACGCUACACACUCUUCGUGAAUAUGGAAAGUAUGCUAGACCGAAUUCACCGUCCAAUAGUCAUAAUGAUGCACAAUCUUAAUGCCAUGAGCCCUAGCGAAUGAUGCAUCUAUGAAUGAAUGUGAUGCACUAGUGUUGAAGAAAGCUCUAGCUCUAGUGCCUCUGAUUGAGAUAAUACCUGCCACGAUGUCGUCGGAAACAGGAAUCGGCUCCUCUUCCACCUGAGUGCAAAAACCCGUCCACUCGGUGCUCUCGAUGCCUCCGGCUGACGCGAUGAAGACAAGCGUCCAGCCGAUAUAGCCGGCGGUAAUCCCGCCUGCUGCCUCGGGGUAUAAGGGACUGAUGCCGAGGUCGAUGCAGAUGAACUCCAGCUAGGGCACUCUCGUGACACAUGCCCAGGUUGGCCACACUUAAAGCAUUUUCCCUCCCGCUGCGGGCACGACGGCGGUUGAUGGUUGCCGCCGCAAAUAACACAACGGGAUGGUCUCCAACCCCUCGACUGCUGUCAGGGAUACCGAGGGGGUUUCUUAGCAUUUGGCCGGCCCUCGGUACCACCCGCUGUCCGCUUCUUGCUCUUCUCCCUUGCCUCGGCUGCGGACUCACGCUCCUCGCGCUCAUGGGCAUAACCAUGCUCCGCCGACAAAGCCCGAUCAAAGACCUCCGCAAAGGUCGUGAGCUUGAGGAUCUGCACGGCCCUAUGAAUCCCUGGCCGCAAUCCUCGUAGGAACCAGUCCGCUCGGUCCCGGUCAUCCCUGACAACAUCCGGAACGCAGUGAAUGAGGUGGGAGAACUCCUGCUCGUAGUCUGCCACCGAGCGAUCCUCUUGCCUCAACUUGCGGAAUUUCUCUUGCAACUUCCGCUUCACCGUAUCGGGGAAGUAGUUGGCGAACACCGCCCUCCGAAACUCCUCCCACAACAUAGGCGGAAGAUCGGGCGACCGAUCUCGCCUAACAAGCUUCCACCACACCUUCGCCGCCUUCUCAAGGCAAUGUGUGGCGAGGUACACCUUGUCCUUCUCCAAGGUGUUAAGGUCCUCGUAAAGUGUCUCUAUGGAGUCGAUCCAGGACUCCACCACCGCCGGUUCCACCACUCCCCCUUCGAAGGUAGGUGGGUUGAACUUCUGAAACUGAAUGAGAGCCGCCAACGCGCGCUCCCGCUCCGCCUCCUCCGCCGCACUAUCGGGGUUUGAGGUCCCCGAUCCUGCCGGCACCAUCGUAACUGGCACGACCGCCGCGACCACACCCUCGGCCGCACUCGGCACCACUGCAGGAGGCGCAGAGUGCACGGCCUCCACGGGCGCCGCCGCCACCUGCUGCCGCUCCAAGGCCUCCUGGAGCCUUUGGAUUUGCUCCCCUUGGUGCUGAAUGGAUUCCGCCUGCUGCCGCACUAUGCCAAUAAGCGCGGCCAUCUGCUCCCGAAGCUCCCGGUCGCCACCUGCUCCGGGUUGCACGGGAGCCGUACUUGACUCCUGGGCCAUAGAUCUCGUCCGCGGUCGACCACGAGGUAGCUUAGGUCGUCCACGAGGCGGCAUUGCUUCAUGAAACGAAGCAACUCACGUUAGUUACUUAGACAGUAUACUCGAUUAUACCCAAUUCGGCGAAAGCAUAUAAGUGCAUUUAUUUUCAUUCCAAAGCGUUUUGUCGUCGGCCGCCGAUCACAACACAAGGAAAAGCAAACGAAUAACAACUUAAGUUCAGUCCCUAACCACAUUAGAGACAUAAUUACAUCGAUCCAAUCCAUGCCUUCGCUAAAACUUAUUCAGUGUCGCUCACGUUUCCUAGAUCCUUAAGGUUCUCCAUUCCUAAGGGUCUCUAGGUCCAUCCUAUGCUUUCACUUUCUGGCUCUUUACGCUCGGAUACCAUCUUAUCUGUCAUGCCCCGAGCCCGAUCCUUUUGGCCGGUUCGAGAGUGUCGAACAGACGCCGAACGGACAGAACCUCCCCUGACCGCUCAAGGCUCAACAACAAGUAUCAAUAGAAUAUAAAGUUUGCAUAAGCGGAAGCAUACACAAUGGCUUGCACGAGGGCAAGCAAUAGCCAUUAGUGAAAGAAUCUACUAAAUCAUCAUACAAGUAUUUGACUAGAUUUAAAUCACAUACAUGCAUUCGACUUUAAUACAACUUUGCAUUAUUUCUUUUAUACAUCACAAGUUCUUCAAAAUAUGAUUCUUUUUCCAUUUACAUAAAUAAAGUCUUCUACAUCAUUCCUUUAACAUGAUCACAAUAUUAACAUCAUCAAGUACAAAAGAUGAUAAUAAGGGGUAUGCAACUAUGAAAAUAAAACAUCUCGGGCGGUCUCUACCUAGGGCGUGAUGCACUUACCGCGAUCGCCUGCCUGCUCGCUCGGUCCUGGCUCUGUGGAAAGAGUGGGUGUGAGAACUACAACAAAGUUUCCAGUGGGUUCGGCAACCAACCACGCCGACUAUCCCACUAGGUCUAAUCAGGCAUAAUAGAAUAGAAGAAAUAAAGUAACCAACUAACAAUGCAACUAAUAUGCCUGAACAAUAUAAAAUGCGAUGCUCGAAAUAAUGCUCAUGAUGAAUGCAAGAUCAUAAUUUCUUUACACAAUCUCUUGGCUAACCUGUAGGUUUCGCCUUCAACAAACUCACCACCCAAAAUCCUAUCAACCAGGGAGAUACCCGCCACAACCCGAUAGGACCGUUCUCUUGGGAGAUACCCGCUACAACCCAGUGAUGUCGAUUCCGGAGCACAUCGCCCGAGGGAGAGCUACCACCCUUGAGCAAGGACUAAAGGUGAGUACGAUGAAUCCUACAUUGAGGAUUCCAAGUUCAAUCCAUUCCUUAACUUUAAAGAAGACCAUGCUCAAUGACCCUUAACUCUAAGGUUGCAAUGUCAUAAUAUCUCAAUCAUUCUUUUCUUUGCAUUCUUUACCAACACUAGUGUCAUAUACACUACCAAGUUCUUGUACUCAUGCCACACUUGUUUUCUAAGUGCUAUGUUCUUGUUCUCAUGCCAAAUGUCACACUUAUUUUUCUAAGUGUUCUAGACUCAUCAAUAUCACUCGCAAGAUCUAUGUCCAUGUGUCACUUUUGUUCACUAAUCCUUCUAGGUUCUUGUCACUUGUCAUGCAUAAAUAGGGUUAUAAUUCUCACAUUCUUACAAGUAUUUUAUACGUAAUUAAACUCACGAUCAUGCAAUAAAAACUCACAAUUAACCCUACUAUGCAACAUGCUCAAUAUAUACAUAUAUGUUCAAACAUGACACUUUAGACAUAAAGAGAUUUUCGAGGUCCUUGGAAUGCACCACCCACCUCGAGUGGUCGCGUAGGUGUAGAAUACGACGACUCCCGAACUUUACGAAAGCCGAUUCCGCGUCCUAUAACCAAAAUAGUGCCAUAUUAGGCCUUUCGUACAUGAACCAUACUUAAACAUUUUCGUAACGUUAAACGGAGGUGUCCAACGCGUCGUGGACACCCCUAAUUAGGUUUCUACGGGGUCAAUUCGCCCCUCAAAAAUUCUAGGGCAAAAGUCCCAAAUUUGGUACCCUAACCAAACCCAUUGUUAAACCCUAGGUUUUGAUCUCUAAAACAAGCAAAAGAGAGCUUGUCUAACCUCUAGGUGCUCAUCUAAGGUCAACCAAGCCAUUUCUAGGGCAUUCAAGAUGAACCCUAGAAGUUCACCAUGAGAGGAUCUUGGGCUUCCAUGGAUUUUUAUGGAGCUCAAGCCUCAAGAGGUGCUCUAAUCAUCGAAGAAGCUCCAAAACCUAAGUUUUCUUGGGAGAAAUCCAAACCCUAGAGCUCUACAUGCUAAAACAACUUACCUUGGCCCAAGUUCUAGCAAGCUCCUUCUUGUUGGAGAGCUUCUAGACCCACCAAGUCCACCAAAAAUCCCUCCUCAAGCUUCUUCUUCUUCUUCUCCUUCAAGCCCUAGGUGAUUUCUAGAGAGAGAGAGGAGAGAGGAAAUAAGAGGGAGAAGUGUGUGUGUGUGAAUGGCUGUAGAGGGAGAGGGGGUUGGGUAUAUAAGGUGUUGUAACAUUUUCAACAAGACCCCUCCACUUUAUUCCCUGUGCACUGCCCAAACUGGGCAUUUUUCGCAGUAAGGGACCGGUCUCCCUGACCUGUGACCGGUCCCCAAGAGCUCCUCCCGCGGACUACGCAGGCUGCGCACGAUGCAAUCGGUCUCCCUCGAUGAGACCGGUCUCUGGGGGACCGGUCUCUGCUCGUAAGGACCGGUUCCCGAGAGCUGAUUUUUCAGGACUUAGCCGAUUUCUCAGCCACCUCGCUGCCUACGCGUUCGGGGACCGGUCUCUCCCAACAGGGACCGGUCCCCGAGAGCACAAAACCUGCAGUUUGCAGAUUUUGAUUUCCAAAGCUCUCGAAGAUCCCCAGUAAUGUAUUUUAGCAUUAUUUGACGCCUUCGGCCUCUCCGAAGUGUACCAACCUCGCCCUUUGGUCAAUUUGACCAAGGUUCGAAUUUAAUCACCGAGAUUUCGGUAUGUUACAGUUGGGGUAUACUGGUGAUGUAGGGCUCACUCCCUCUCAUUUCUCUCAAUUGCAACCACCCAACAAACACUCUCUUUCUCUCUAGAAGCUCUCCCUCUCUCUAGAAGUGGAAUCAAGAGGAGGAUAAGGUGGAGAUUGGAGCUUGAAGGAGGACCACCAUUGUUAUCUUCUUCCUUAGCUUGGAGAAGGAGCUUAGUAGAGGUAAGCUCUUUGCCUUCUCAUGGUAGAAUGCUUGGAUUAGGGUUUUAUACUGUAGAAAUGGAAUCUAAUGGUGCUCUAAGAGUAGUUAAUCUCAUUUAUUGGAAGAAUAGUAGCUUGUAUGAAGCUAAUUGCAACAAUAGUGAUUUAGGGUUCCAAAAAGAGGGCUUUUGCUCAUGAGUAGUUUUGAUCUAAAUUGAUCACUCUCUAACCUAAUUGUUAGGCCUACGAACGUGUUCGUGCACUCGGUUUGAGUAUUCGUCGAGGUUACGUGAAGAUAUUGAAGAAAAUGGCGAUUUCGGUACAGAUUGUCGCAGCACGCGGCGUAGGCUUCCAAAAAUCAAGAAACCGAAAUCGUAGCAUCGUGACAUCACCAAAAGGUGGGGGGUGUCCAUCCCGAAGCAACCGGGCUUCCUUUUAUGUCUAAGUUCUAUUUUGAUCAUAUUCAUAUAUUGAUAUUGUGCAUUAUAGGAUUAGUAAAUGAUUACAUUCCAUUUCCUUGCAUGUUUCCUAUGGUAGUGUAGCACUAUGGGCUUGACACUUGAACUUAGGUUGCAUGAGGAUUGGGUCAUAUGACAAGAAUCCUACAGUGACAAGAAUGAUGAUGAACUUGGACUUGUGAUGAUGAAAACAAGUGGCAUUCAAAUUAGUAUAGUAGAGACACUAUAAUAUGGACGACUGGCAUGUCAAUUUAGUGUAUUGAGACACAUACAACAUCAUGACAUAAAUGAGUGGCAUCAGAUCUAGUGUAGUGGAACACUAUGGCAUUUGAACCUAGGAAUAGUAGAUUUUUUCAAUUGUCAUGUUGUAGACAUUAUGCAUUGGCAUUAGUGCAGCUGAGGCAUUGUGACCCUGGUAGAUAGGGUAUCUUCUUGUGAGGAUUGGAUCAUACUCACUAGUCUGUUUUCGUUUGUCAGUGGUCACUCCACCGAAGCUGUGGUCUCCGGAGUACUUCACAUAGGGGCAGACGUAGUUGUCCCUGUCUGCGACCACGAAUGACGCACCUCACACGGUUUAUCUUAUUUUAAUUUUCCAUGGGGUAGUAUUUAUGACUCAGAUUAAUAUUUGAUAUAUAUAUGGGUAUCAAGUAUUGUGGAUUUAUGGCUUCCAAUAAAUGCAAGCGUUUAUUGUUAAUUACCCCUACAAAGUGUUAGGGCACCUUCGAUUAAGAGAUCUCUGUAAUGCUGAAAUAGACUGAAAUUAAAUAAAAGAUGAAUUUUAUAAAUAAUUCACUAUACAAUUACAUAGCAUAACCAGAGACAUACCCCCCAGCGUACAUGAAUAAAAGAGAAAAUGAUUAGUUCAACGACAUGAGUAUGACGGUCGAUUGAACUUAAUUUGGAUUACACCUAUAAUUUUAAGGGGUUAAUCCAAUUAGAUUUAACUAAAUCCUAGUUACAUGUAUUAGGAUUUAGUUGGGUUUGAAUUGAUUAGACUCUUUGAUUCAAAUUAAACUCUAAUUAGAUGCAUUAGAGUUUGAUUUGGUUAAUUGAACUUUAAUUGUAUGUGAUAAAGUCCAAUAGAAUUUGAUUUGAUAUUCAAUUUAAGCUUUCAUCCUAAAUGUAUAUGUUAGGAUUAGCCCAAAUAUUUUGAAUUAGACUCUAAUUUUAUAUCUUAGAGUCUAGUGUAAUUAGGCUCUAAGCUUAUGUGUUAGGGCUUAAUCAUAUUUACUUUGGGUUCACCAUAAGGUGAAAUGUUAACUAAAUCCUAAUUAUAUAUAUUAGGAUUAGUCAAAUUUAAUUUAAAUUAAACUCUAAGUAUAUGUAUUAGAGUCUAACUUAGCUUCAUUUAUUUGAACUCCAAGUAGAUGUAUUAAAGUCCAAUAAAUUUAAUUUGAUUAGAUGAAACCUAAUCUAUUAUUUUUUACCUUAGUCACAUAUACGAAGAUAAAUAGAUGGUUUGAUCAAUUCUAAACAAAUAUUUUAGAAUUCGAUUUAGCAUGAAUGUGGUAGCAAAUAUGACUUUAGUUUAAUGUGCUAGAGAAUUGGGUUAAGAAGAUUUGUCCUUAACAAAUUGGUAAGGCUUGGUUUCAUAUCCAUGUAGUUUAGAGUGUGAGUUUGAACUAUGGUUCUUAAGUCUCAUGAAGAUCUAAAUUGGCCUUGAUCUAGUUUGGGCACACUCUUUUUUUUUGGGUUAGGUUUGUAUUCAAACUUGAGCCUGGGCUCAGAGCGGGUUCAUGUAAUUCAAGUUAAAGUUUAAUUUUGCUGUGGGCUCAGGCAUGGACUAAAUUUAGGAUUCGGGCAUGGGCUAAAUUCAGGCCCAUGUUGUAUGGAUUCAGGUUGAGUCCUGAAUGUGGGCUCGGGCUCAAUUUAGGCUCGUAUGGCUUAAGUCCAUGUUUUCUUUAGGCAAGCCAUAGAAUUAGGCCCAGAUUUAUGUUUGAGUUGAACCUGGGUUAUGCUGAGCUUGGGUUAUGUGAUUUGAGGUGAGUACGGGCUUGGUCCAUACGAGAUUUUGAGAUGGUUAGUUUGAAAUUAUUUGGGAUUUGUUUGAGAUCAAAAUGUUAACCUCAAAAAUUUAAAUAUCUAAUUCAUAAUCAAAUUCAAUGCUUAAAAUUUCGCGUGCACUUUUCUAAUUUUCAAAUUCUCAGUCAUGAAUAAUGAAAAUUCAACUUAAUUUAAUUUGGAGCAUAGAAUGUGUCACGCCCCGAGACCGCUACCAAUUUGGUCCGGUUCGGGCGCGUCGAACAGACGCCGAACAGACAGCACCUCCCCUGUCCACCCUAGGCUCAACAAUAAGAUCUUGUACAUUUUUGUUGCCCAGGAUGACAUACAACAUACAUGAAUAAUACGAAGCACCACAUGUGCUAUACAAUUAAGAGCAAGACACACGUAAUAAAACGAGUGAUAUAAAGAGAGUAACAUCUAGCUAUUACCUCCACAAGGCAUUCAACAUUUAGAUCCUUGAUUACAUUUACAUCUCCAAAAUGAAUAUUCAUGAUAAUCUCCAAAAUAUAUAAGCAACCUCCCAAAAUACAUCAUAUGUCACGGGGUACACGAGGGUACACUAAUGCAAGUGGAAGCUGCUAACUACACCUAGGGCGCGAUGCCCUUACCACGGUCCUCUACCGGUGCUCUCUCGCUAGGCCCUACAACAGAGUGGGGUGAGAACUAUAUAAAUAUACAAUAUAAUUCCCAGUGGGUUCGGCCGCCGACUCCGCCGAUCUCCCCACUAGGUCUAAGCAGGCAUAAGUAGAUAGAUAGAUAGAUAUUUUAAGCUAUAAAUGAUUCAUAUAGAAAGAAUUGCAAGAUUCUACUAUGCCUCUAAAACAAGAGUAAACCACAUAGCCAUGUAAUCUCUAACAUGCUACCAUAACUCUAUGAAGUAUACCUGCAACUCUGCUAUGCUCAACAUGCUUAACAUGCUCGAUAUGCCCAAUAUGCUCAACUUACAUAACCCUCUUGAGUUUAUUACCCAAUCAUCUGGCUGGCCCAUAGGCGCGCCCUCGACUCACAACUCAAAUCCGUCUAUGAAGGGGGACUCGAACCACCCGAGGGAUUGUCUGCGGGACCCCAUAUAGGCUAUCCCUUGGGACCCCAAAUAGGCUAUCCCAAUCGUUUCAAGUGCCAAAACUCCGGAGCUCGCACUACUUGUGCGGAGCGACCGCCACAAGCGCUGAACAGACUGUGUGAGUAUGAUCAAAUCGGUUUCCAACGAAGGUACCCGUUCACUAUGACCAACAUGCACAAGUGUUCUUUUAACACUACGUUCUAAUGCCACUCGUCAAGUUGUUUACUUGGUAUACAUAUGCCACUCGUCAAGUAUGUACUUGGUUUAGAUGUUAUUUGCCAUAAUGCAAUUGUCCCGACUAUACUAGUCAUAUGUCAUCCAUGCAAGAUCAAGUUUUUGUUUAACUUAUCUCUAUAGGGUUCUAUGUCACAAACUCAUUCUCAUGCACCCUAAGUUCACAUGCCAAGCCUACUAUGCCGCAACACAAGAGAGCAUGCAAGAAUAGUAAAAGUAACAUCUAAAUACCCUAACAUGCAUGAUACUAUAUAUGUAGUAUGUUCAACAUAGAAAUACUUAGACAUAGGGAGAAGCCCAGUUGCUUCGGGAUGACACUCCCCACUUUUUAUCACUAUCACGAGGCUAGGGUUCCGAUUUUGUGAUUUUUGGAAGCUUUCGCCACGAGCUGCGGCAAUCUGUACCUUAACGGCUUCGUUCUUUAAUAUCUUCACGUAGCCUCGUCGUAUCGCCGAACCAACUUCGCCAACGCGUCAGAAAAUCUAGAAAUUAGGUUUAUACAUGAUCAAUUUAGAUCAAAAUCCUUCACAAGCAAAACCCCUCUUUUGAUGCCCUAAGAUGCAACUAUGCAAGAAUUCAUCAUUUGAUCUCUAAAUUCAAGCAUCAACCAUCUAUUUAGCAUCUAGGAGUUUCACUAAACCCAUUUCUAAGGCAUACAAAUCAUUACUUAGCAAUCUACCAUUGUUGCUAUCAAAGCUUAACUCUCAAACCCAAGCUCUCUUCAAGCCAAUGGUGAAGAAAAAGAAAGCUUCACCUCUAAGUAAGCUUUGCUCUAUCAAACUCCACACUUUGGAGCAAAUCCUAGAGAGAGAGAGAGAGAUUUCUCUUAUGUUGGCUCAAGUAGAGAGGAAUGAGGGAAAUGACAUAACACCCUUAUAUACAUAUAUAAGAGGAAACUUCACCUCCAAGUAAACUCCCCCAAAACACUAUUCACUUCAGCAGUUUAAAACUGACAUUUUUCGCCGAAGCCCUUCUGAACGUCCGUUUGCGCCCAAAUUUGACAGGCAGGCUCGGUUUUACUUAAUAAGUCCAAAGAAAUUUUAAUUUUUCAGUUUCGACCAUGUUUGGUCACCGAAAGCUAUACCGAACUGUAAUCUUUAUCAGAUAGCAGUCGGAUUUUAUUUUUUACUUUCCGGGGCGUCAGAAUGGUAUGAAACUUUAAAUCUAGCCUCAUAAAAAUAAUUCUGACAUAUCUUCCAGUUUUUAUAAUUUUCUGACACUGUGCAUUUUCUGCUAAUUUUUCUGCUCCGUUUCACGCAGAAAAUUCUAAAUCUUUUGUUUUCGCUCCGACUUCAACACGGGUCAUUCCAGACUUAUAUUUUACUUCUAUAAGUAGAACAAAAAUAGUAUCUCAUACUAUUUUUAUUUAUAUUUAUUUUUAUAAUAAAUUCCGACAUACUAUACCCUACCGUAACUUCUUACUUUCUGGAGUUCGGUAUCUUACAGAAUGUCCAAUGCGAUUAAAUCUCGAUUUGGUCUAAUUUGGCCAAAUCGAGAGGUUUGAUUUUGGAUAGAAUUAAGGGGUUCGAUUAUUUUUGGAACAUCACGUUGUUCUUCUAAUAAAAAGACGAUCAAAAGAAUAACAAUCAAUAAUCCGAUUGAUUUCUUUUGCCUCUUAAUUAUGAGAGAAUUAACAGAGUAUUUUUCUCUCUUUAUCUCCUUUGAAGGUACAAGACAACAAAGAUGGAUAAUCCUUCUUUGCCUCUCUAAGUAACAAAGCUCUCUCUCUCUUUUGAUGAUAUAUUUUUUACGAAGAGAAGAGCACCGCUCUCUCUCUUUUGAUAACACACUUUUUUUUUUUACAAAGAAAAGAGCACCGCUCUCUCCCUCUUUUAAUGACAUAUUUUUACAAAGAGAAGAGCAUUGCUCUCUUUCUAUACGCAGGUUAAGUUUGCCGUCGAAAAAAAAUACAUCUUGGGUAUUUCAUCGAACAGUUGGUAGGCGUGGUGCGUUGCGCAACUCCGAUUGCGUUGGAAUCGCAACAGAGAGUUGGAAGUCGCGGCUAUGAUAGAGUCGGUGUAGUGGCAAGGUCGAAGGUAAAGAAAUCGACGAGGUCGUCGGGCAUCAACUCGGGAUGGACGCCGACAUUCCGCAGCAUCCGCAGCAGGUACUCUAACAGCACCACUUCGCGCACGAUGAUCACUGCCGACGACAUCCCCUCUCCUCCGUCCGAGCGCUCGAUGAGGACGCGGAAGAGCGGGUGGUCGAUGAGGUCGGAGCUGACCAGGUACCGGCGUUGGGACUUGUCGACAUAGAUUGGGUGUAGCCCGCGCGACACGACGUCCAAAUGCUUGUCGACGGCGCUGUCGGCAUCAAAUUUUGGCUCCUCCAACCGCUGCUGCCACAUGUUGUCAUCUUCGUUGUGGGGAAUGAAGAAUCCGCAGGCGAUGAGCGAGAUGCAACGGCUGCUGCCGGAGGGGGAGUAGAAUUAUAGAAGCCUCUUUUUAAAGAAGCGCUGCUCGUUGCAAACACAGAUCGAACACCUGGUGAGCGGUGACGAGGUCGGCCAUGACGGAGACGAGGCCGGUAUCGAGGGCGUCCCGUAGAAGGCCGACCGCAGCGACGCGAAGAGCCUGGCGGACACGGCGAACAGCGGCAUGUGCUGGACGUCCGGGUCGAAGUCCAGGCUGUUGCAGGCGAUGUGGUGCGCAUUGUGGUUCUGCUUCCACCACUCGCUGCUGAUCCCCGCCAUGCAGUUCCCCGCCACCACCUGCACGAGUCGGUUCAGUGUGGGGUGAGCAGGACGUUGUAGUGGCCGGAGUCGUGGCCGAGGAAGCCGGACUGCAUCCAGAGCGCGCCCAUGAGGACCGCUGAGAGCAGGUGGACGGCAGGGCUGGACGACGCGACGACGUCGUAGACGGCGGCGGCGAGCAUGAGGAGCAUGGCCGCCAGCACGAGGAGCGGGGUGAGGUUGUCGUGCGGGAUCGCAAACACCUCGUUGCCCACGGCCACGACUGCGAUCUGGGUCGCCGGGUAGUACGCUGUCACGUUCCGCUACGCCCACCCGAGCGCGUAGCCCGAGCGCGACGCGGCCGCGAUCCUUGUCGGCGUCGACGUCGGCAUCGGCGUUCCCGCGGCUGAAGAGGCCGUAGGAGAUGGCGAUGCCCACCAGGAGGAGGUGGAGGAGACUAAAUAUUAAGUAAAAGUAGAGAGGGAGAGAGGGCUUCCUUUUUUAUUUUUUUAUUUUAUUUUUUUUAGGAGAGAGAGAGAGCGCUUUGAUGCAGCAUCAAUGGAGAAGAAGGAAAUAAUUAUUACUAUCUUUUUCUUCUCUUUCGUGAAGAAGGAAGAUAACAAGAGGUGUGUCUUUUUUUGUUUAGAAUAGGUUAGAAAAGGCUCCUUUCAAGUGGGUUCCAAAUAGAUAUUUAUGGACUUAGUUAUAACUACUUGGAAUUUUUCUCUUUUUUUUUUUAGAACGUGUAGAUGAUGGGGUAGUGGGAUGUGGGAGAUGUGGAAAGUUGGGAUCAUGGAUAUGAUAUUGCAACUUAACCCUUUUAAUUUGCUUAUAUUAUAUUUUAGUUAAAAUAAAAGAGUAAUAUAUAUAUAACAAAAUAUUUAUAUGCUUGAAGUAGAGCAUUUUACAAAUAUAUGAAAGGAAAAGGACUAAUUUGCUAAAUAGUACAUGUGUAAUAGCCAUGCAUGCCUACGAGAGCAUUCUUUCUCUUCCUUCUUUUUUGUAGUCUAUGCACCUAGUGCAUAGAUUAACCUAUGCACCAUGUUCAAAAUUUGAAUUCAAAUUUUCUCUAUCUACCUAGUGUAUAGAUCAUCUCAUACACCAUAUUCCUAUUCAAAAGUUGGAUUCAAAUUUUCUCUCCUUCUUUCUCUUUUUUUUUUCUCUUUUUUUUGUGCUUUAAUAGUCCCGCAGGCGGUCUCGGUGUACGAGUGCAGCUUCUCCUCACCUAUGAGAUUGAGAGUGAGUCGGGGUAGCAACCAUCGGGUUGGCCCUGGGGUAGCAACCUUCGGGUUUGCCAUGAGAUGGGAUAUUAUCGAGGCAUAGUUGCACUGCGCACUAUGUAGUAGCUCGUUCAUUCAUGUGAUUAUUUGAAGUCUAGUAUUACGUGGUAGAUCAUAUACUAGGUAGUAGCUCAUUCAUGUAUUCAGUUUUGAGAUAUAGUAUCAUAUUGUUGGUUUAUACUACAUAGUAGCUCAUGCAUUUCACUUGGAUAUGGCAUUCUGAUAUUUGAGGCAUAGUAGCAUGUUGCAGGAUACAUUACUAUGUAGUAGCUCAUUUUCAUUGUUGUUGAGACAUAGUAUUAUGUGUAGUUUACAUUACUAUGUAGUAGCUUAUUUUCAUUAUUGUUGAGGCAUAGUAUCAUGUGUAGUUUGCAUACUAUGUAGUAGCUCAUUUCUUUUAUUGUUGAGGCAUAGUAUCAUGUGUAGUUUACAUUACUAUGUAGUAACUCAUUUCUAUUAUUGUUGAGGCAUAAUAGCAUGUGUAGAUUGCAUACUAUGUAGUUGCUCAUACAUUGGAUCAUUGAGGCAUAGAUCAAAUACUAUGUUGUAACUCAUAUCCUUGAUUAUUGAAGGCAUAGUAGAUUGUUGCAGAUUACUUUACUAUGUUGCUUUUCAAUUUCAUAUCUAUCUAUCUAUCUGCUUGUGCCUGCUUAGAUGUCACGCCCGGGUACCAGCGGAAGCAUACCCGGUACGUGCACAGACCCGCCAUACACCUGCAGUGUAUAAGGCGUCUAUAGAACAAAGCAAGGCAAUAGGAGAAAUCAUAGGAGAUCCUAUUUCAAUAUCAGAGCAAUGUACAAGUCGAUAUAUUAUCAGUAAAAGAACAAAGAGUAUACAAUCCACAAUCCCAGCAGAAGGAGAAGAAGUAUGAACUAUAACGUCUGGAUCUACAACUCAUAUACAACACAGGGUACACAAAAACAUCUGUACAAAGGUAGUCACUCUAUACAAUGGACAUCAUCCUCGGCCGUAGCCCGAGUAGCAAGGUGAUCGAUUAGCACGCUCCUAGCAAAGUCUAGCUAGACGCGACUCCCUUGCCACGAUCCCUAGCCUCUCCUGUAGAUGGCUCUGUAAAAACAACCAUAAAAAGGGCGUGAGAACUAUUAACAAUAGUUCCGAGUGAGUAAGCCGCCAGCCUCGGCGAAUUACACCACUAGGCUCAUGAUGUACUAAUGAAAAGUAAAUGCAAUAAUUGCAUAAUGCUAACAAGUAAUGAGCAUGUAAUUGCAGGAUACCUUUCCAAUGCUAAGCAAUUAAUAAGCAUGUAAACAACAUGUAAUAGCUUUCUACAGCAAUGAAUUGAACAAUAAAGCAUAGCAGCUACUGUAAGCAUGAACAUAAAUAUGAAUGUGUAAGCAGAAACUAUACACAAUGACUGGUGAUCAUUCAUUACUGUCCAAUGUCCUUUAGCACUUUCUUUUUCAUUUACAGGGACCUACCCAAGGUAGUCCAGCUUGCGCCGCGCCUAAUGGCCCCGUGGUAGUAUACACUUCCCACGGUAAUCCACUUCGGCACCCAAUCCCGCACGAGCGAGCAACUGUCGCGUAGGCCAACUCCGGAGUGCCGGCUUGUAGGGGGCGACCCUCACAAGCAUGUGCGAAUGAGCACAAUGGCAAGCAAGCAUAAUCCACAGUCAACAAGUCUCCAGUAGUAUGUUUUACGGGUAAUGCUUUCAACAUCGAUCCUUGAUCGGAAUUUUAGUAUAACACUAUAGAGCAUAUGAACAAUAGCUAGUAUUCACUAGUAACAUGUGAGAAUACUCCAACUUUACAUAUAACAUAAAAAUCUUUUCCACUAUCAUGGCACUAUUAGCUUAGGCAUAAAAUAUGUUCUCGUGCUCUAAUCUAGAGUAGUCAAGAGAGUGUCACUGUUCUUACAAGCAUGUCAUUUUCUUACAAGCAUGUCGUUGUUCUCUAUAAACAUGUCAUUGUUCUCUACUUUAUAAGCAAUAAAGUCAUGAGAGUGUCAUAGUUUGCUACUUAAUAGAGAUUUCGAUUCAACUCUACUAAAGUAUAGUGACUCGUCAAAAGUCCUAUUUCAAGCCCAAGCGCCCACAACAUCUCCAAUUGGCGUACAUAUAGAACAUAGGGGAGUUCCACUUGCUCUGGUUAGGUCCGACCCACCUAUUAUGAAGCUCCAAUUAGUCACACGAAGUCCCAAUAUACUGCUCAACAAGGCUCCGAUCCUGCUGAAAACAAGAUAAGAAAGUCGUGCCGAAACAAUUACUCAAAACUCCAAUUUCGGCAAAAUUCACAAGAAGUACAAAAUGGAAACUUAAUUCUCUGCUUUUGGGCUAGGUAUAUACCUCAAGUUAAGCCUCUAAAAGCCUCUAUAAGUCAACGAAAAGCACUCCAAGACCCGGUCGCAAGCCUGCUGCGAUCAACACGAAAACGGCACCAACAACGUCAAGAAUCAACAUACAACAUCGGAAUCUUGAAAUUUCAGUUUUCUACCUGAAAUUCUUGCUUUCCUCAGGUUAUAGCACCUUCCUCACUUGUCCCCAAGGUCACUAAAUAAGUUUAAUUAGGUUCGAAAACCUGCUGCGAACAUAAGGAUCCAAACUGCAUUAGUAAAUCGCAUAAAGUGCCGAAAUCGCUUCAUAAAGACCUAAUUAGCUCUACUAAGCUUCAAAGUAACAUAUCCCAAGUUUAAGGAAGUUAAUCCACAGCUAAAUAACUCAGCUUUAAGUGUUAAAACCUCAGCCUAACACAGCACGAAGCAGAAAUGCGAAAGAGAUACUCAACUCGCCGAAAACAACAUCAAUUACGAAGAACUUGAGUCGAUUACCUGCUUAGGCAUCCAACCAGCAAACCCCUGGUCCAAAGCUGCGAAAAAAAAAACCUCCAAAAUACUCUCUCCCACGACCACGCAACCUCUGCGAUGCUCGUAAUCAGUGAAGAACGCGCGUGGCGACGAAAACGGCUAAAACGGCGAGUUCUUUGUAGAGAGAGAAAAACCCAAGAGAGAGACAGUGUGGAGGAGGUGAAGAAGUCUUCUCUGGGCUCCAGCACCAUCUGAAGAGGUCCAGGGGUCGAGCUGGGAGGAUAGGGAUGAGUAAAAGAGGUGAAAAGACCAAAACAGCCUUGCUGCCACGCAGCUGCAGCUGCUGCUGCUUGCUGUACCAGUACAGCAUUAGGCUUGUACCGGUACACCAAUGCAAAAAUUGCAGAUUUUGCAAUAGCAAUGCACUUUCUCGUCUCCGGCAAUCCGAUCACUCUCUAACUUGUCCCAAAACAUAUCCAAGCCUUUUAGAACAUGUAGGAUAGUUCCAUAUUCCAUUCCACUCACUCGAACUCCGCAAUUUGCACAAGUUUAGUGUAUUACAUUUACCCCGCCUAAAAAGAAGUUUCGUCCGCGAAACUUAUGAUCACUUACCUCAAGAUUCUGUCGAGAAAAGAUAGGGGUAGUGCUCCAACAUUGCAUUCUCCAAUUCCCAAGUAGCUUCUCGUUCAUCGUGAUUGCUCCAAAGUAUCUUGACGUACAGUAUCUCGCGGUUUCGAAGUCGUUUCAUUUCACGAGCUAGGAUUCUCACGGGAUGUUCUUCAAAACUCAAAUCUUCUCGCAAAUCCACUAGAGCGCUCUCAAAUAUGUGGGUUGGAUCAAAAAUAUACUUUCGAAGUGUCGAUACAUGAAACACAUUGUGUACUCCUGAUAGGCUCGGCGGCAAAGCAAGCCGAUAUGCUACGGGGCCUAUCCGCUCCAACACCUCGUAGGGUCCAAUGAAUCGAGGACUCAACUUUCCUCGAAUACCAAAUCUUUUAACUCCUUUCGUCGGUGAAACCUUCAGAAAUACAUGAUCGCCAACUUGAAAUUCCAAUUCUCGCCGACGUUUGUCCGCAUAACUCUUUUGUCGAUUUUGGGCUGUCAGUAGACGUUCUCGCGCAAGUCGAACUUUAGCUUCAGCCUCUUGUAAUACAUCGGGACCCAAAACCAAUCUCUCACCCACUUCACUCCAAUGAAGUGGUGAUCUGCACUUUCUACCAUAAAGGGCUUCAAAAGGUGCCAUCUGAAUACUUGCUUGAUAACUAUUGUUAUAAGCAAAUUCAGCCAUAGGCAAGAACUGUGGCCAACUGCCCUGGUAAUCAAUCACACAGGCCCGCAACAUAUCCUCAAGGGUCUGGAUGGUACGCUCAGACUGCCCAUCACUCUGGGGGUGGAAAGCAGUACUAAAAUCCAAUCGAGUACCCAUGGCCUCCUGUAAACUCUUCCAGAAAUGUGAAACGAAUCGGGUGUCUCGAUCUGAAACAAUCGAAGCAGGUACUCCGUGUAAUCGCACAAUUUCAUCAAGAUACACUUGUGCGAGUCUUUCCCCCGACCACACCGUAUGAAUUGGAAUAAAGUGGGCAGAUUUAGUCAAUCGAUCAACAAUUACCCAAAUUGCAUCGUGACCUGCUUGUGAGCGAGGUAAUCCAACGAUGAAAUCCAUAGUGAUCCUCUCCCACUUCCACACUGGUAUGGGUAAACUCUGUAGUUUUCCUGCAGGAAGUCGAUGUUCAGCCUUAAUUUGCUGACAGAUUAAGCAUUUAGCCACGAAGUCAGCAACUUCCUUUUUCAUUCCAGGCCACCAGUAAGUUAACUUCAGAUCUUUAUACAUUUUCGUACUCCCAGGGUGUACAGUAUACGGCGCCCGAUGUGCUUCUAUUAGAAUCUCUUCUUUAAUACCAGAAUCUGCCGGUACACAAAGUUUAUCCCCGAAUUUCAACAGUCCCUGAUCAUCCACUCGAAAAUCACCAACAUAAUCAAUAGUGAUUUUAUCUCGAAUCUUUUGCAGAGAUUCGUCUUGAGCUUGCUUUUCUUUAAUUCGAUCGAUCAGGGUAGGCUGCAUCACUAAUGACAUAAGUCUCCAAGGCGUCUCGGGAGCUACAACUUCCAAAUUCAACUGCUCCAUUUGUUUGACCAGUAGUGGUUGCAGAGUUAUCGACAUCGCCAAAUUUUUCGUCGAUUUUCAACUUAAAGCAUCUGCUACGACAUUAGCUUUUCCAGGAUGAUAGAGGAUGGUCAAAUCAUAAUUCUUGAGUAACUCCAACCAUCUACGUUGCCUCAAGUUUAAUUCCUUCUGUGUAAACAGAUACUUUAAGCUUUUAUGAUCUGUAUAAACUUCGCAACGCUCGCUGUAGAGGUAGUGGUGCCAAAGCUUUAAAGCAAAUACCACAGCUGCUAACUCAAGAUCAUGUGUAGGGUAGUUCUUUUCAUAAUCUUUCAAUUGGCGAGAGGCAUAGGCAAUUACUCUGCCACUCUGCAUUAGAACACACCCUAAUCCGUUCAGCGACGCAUCGCUGUAAAUCACAUAAUCUACUCCCGUAACAGGUAGUGCGAAGAUCGGGGCAGUAGUUAACCGUUCUUUCAACUCUUGAAAGCUUCUUUCACAGGCUUCAUUCCACAGAAACUUAGCUCCUUUAUGUGUGAGUCGAGUGAGAGGAGUAGACAUCUUCGCAAAUCCUUCUACAAAUCUUCGGUAGUAUCCCGCCAAACCAAAGAAACUCCGAAUUUCUGUGACACUGGUCAGCCUAGGCCAAUCUUUAAUCGCUUCAAUCUUCUUGGGAUCCACAGCUAUCCGAGUUUCAGAAAUCACAUGGCCCAGAAAUGCCACUUCUCGAAGCCAAAAUUCACAUUUCUUUAAUUUUGCAAACAGUUUCUUUUCUCGAAGUACUUGUAACACUACUCUUAGAUGGUUUUCAUGCUCUUCAUCACUUCGAGAAUAUAUCAAAAUAUCGUCGAUGAAUACGACCACAAACCUGUCCAGAUAAGGCUUAAAGACACGGUUCAUUAAAUCCAUAAAGACUGCUAGGGUAUUUGUCAGUCCAAAUGGCAUAACUUUGAAUUCGUAAUGCCCAUACCGUGUUCUGAAGGCGGUCUUGGAAACUUCUUCAGGCUUAAUCUUAAGCUGAUGAUAACCUGAUUGCAAAUCAAUCUUCGAAUAUACUUUCGAUCCUUGCAACUGAUCGAAUAAAUCAUCGAUUCUGGGUAAUGGAUAUUUAUUCUUGAUUGUUACUUUGUUGAUUUCUCUAUAAUCCACGCACAAUCGAAGAGAUCCAUCAUUCUUCUUGACAAAUAACACCGGUGCUCCCCAAGGUGACACACUCGGUCGAAUGAAUCCUUUAUCUAAAAGAUCUUGUAACUGUGCCUUCAGCUCUUUCAAUUCAGCGGGUGCCAUCCUAUAAGGCGCUUUAGAAAUAGGGGUAGUCCCAGGAACAAGAUCAAUCACAAAUUCAACUUCCCUAUCAGGUGGCAUGCCUGGCAAUUCAGCUAGAAACACAUCCCCGAAUUCUCGCACAACCGGGAUAUCAUCAAUCUUGACGGCUUCUCCGUUACUCACAGAAAUGCUAGCCAAAUAGGCUACACAACCUCUCCGUAUCAACUGUCGGGCUCGCGAAGAGCUAAUAGUCAUUGCGAACAAUGAACUCUGACACCCCCUAUAAACAAACUCUUGCUGACCCGGUUCCCUAAAGGUCACCGUCCUAUUCGUGCAAUCUAUAGUGGAAUAAUACUGAGUAAACCAAUCCAUACCCAAUACUACAUCAAAGUCACCUAGUUUGUGUAGUGCCAAUAAAUCCACUGGCAUAAUCCAGUCGCCUACCUGAAUUGGGCAGCGAGGGCAAAAUUCACGAAUCUCUAGGGUAUGGUCGGGCACGAUCACUCAUCCCAAAUGCAAAGUAGGCACUACCUGAAUGCUAUGCAACUCGGCGAACUGCCGAUUAAUAAAAGAAUGCGAAGCACCAGUAUCAAAUAAUGCACGAACACGAAUAUCAUAAAGCAUAAUGAUACCUGCUACGACAUCCUCUGCUGCUGCGGCCUCCUCAGUCUGGGCGGCAUACAUACGCCCACUCGAAUUCUGCCGAGAACUCUCAGACGGCCGCUGUCCCGGUGAUCGUCUAUACUGAGAGGGUGCUGACGGGGUUCCCUGACUCAGAGCUGAAGAUGCAGGUGCUGAUGCUGAUGAGGGUGCAGGCAAAGAACCUCUCGAGCAAUCUGAGCGAAAGUGGCCCUCCUGACCACAGAGAAAACAUCUGCCCCCACGUUGUGGACACUGUGGCGGUACGUGAGGCCCACCACAGAUAACACAACGCGGCGGUCGACGAGGCUCGGGUGCUCCACGGGGUGCUGAAGAACCUCGACCCCUCGACUGUCCUGACUGUCCCCUCGGAUACUUUGGUGGUCUCCUAAAGGACUGCUGACCACUGCUCUCAACUGCAGGUCUCUUUCCUUUGCCUCGAUCCACAACGUCUCUUUCCUUCAUGAUUUCUGCCCCUUUCUCAACAAUCAAGGCUCGGUUCACCACAUCUCUGUAAGUCGAGAGGUUUGGCACCUGGACUAAUCUGAAAAUCGCAGGCCGCAAACCCACCUAAAAAAUACGGGCCUUGUCCUCAUCAUCUCGAACCACAAAAGGAACGCAGUGCAGUAAUCGGGAGAAUUCUCGCUCAUACUCUGCCACUGUCCUGUCCCCCUGCUUCAGGUUUCUCAGGUCCCUUUCCAUUUGCCUCUUUACACUCUGAGGAAAGUAGGUCGUCAACAAUAAGUCCUUGAACGUGCUCCAUGUGAUCGCAGACAAAUCAGUAUGGGGAUCCUCACGAAUAUCCACCCACCACCUGUAAGCCUCGCCGUCAAGGUGGUGCGUCGCAAACCACACCCGAUAUCGCUCCUCAACAAAAGUGUCAUAAAAUAACUUCUCCAUGUGCAUUAACCAUUUCUCGACCACCCAGUGAUCUGCUUUCUCCCCGUCAAAAAUACGAGGGGUACAACGACGGAAUUCAUUCAAUUGUUCCAUCAUCCGCUCUCGCUCCUCAGCCCCCACCAUCUCCGGUAACACUGUCCCUGAUGCCACUACAGGUACUGAUGGUGGUACUCCUGUCUCCUGUCGGGUCUCUGCCCUCGGAGCUACUGGGGGUGUAUCAGGUACUGGUGACCGUGCUCUCACUGUCGCAUCCCUGUCUGGUACUGUAGGUAUAGGAUCAGGAAUCUCUCUGUCAGUCGUCUGCCGCAGUAGUAAAUCCUUUAACCUCUUCAUCCUGUCCUCCUGCCGAUGCGCGGCAUCCAUCUGCUGUUGCGCGGUCGCAGCCUGCUGAGCAACCAAAUCUGUCAACUUCGCGAGCUGAUCCUGCAACUCAUGGAUCCCACUAGAUCCAGAAGUAACGGAGGUCCCCACUUCUUCCGCAUCCGCCGCCUCAGCUGCCCCGGCGGCUUGCGAACGAGUCAAAGGCAUCUUGAGCUGCAGCACAAAAACAAAUAUAGAUCAAUAAAACCUAUACUAUUGAACCUUCAUUGAGGAUAUAAACCAGCUAAUAAAGCGAAAGUAAUGAAAUGUAACGCGUACUAACUUCCGAUGUCACGUUGUCGGCCGCCAACGUGGCCUUCUGCAAAGUUAGUAAUUGCACAUUCCGAUCAAACUCCUACCAUUCAGAGUUUAUAAAUUACCCAAUCAAAAUACUUUCGCUAACCACAACCUCAACUAGACCUCGUCUCUCACGAGCCUAAUCUUAUAGUCCAACCAACCUAAGAUUUGCUAAGUCUACUAAGACUCAACCCUAGGCUCUGAUACCACUAUAAUCUGUCACGCCCGGGUACCAGCGGAAGCAUAUCCGGUACAUGCACAGACCCGCCAUACACCUGCAGUGUAUAAGGCGUCUAUAGAACAAAGCAAGGCAAUAGGAGAAAUCAUAGGAGAUCCUAUUUCAAUAUCAGAGCAAUGUACAAGUCGAUAUAUUAUCAGUAAAAGAACAAAGAGUAUACAAUCCACAAUCCCAGCAGAAGGAGAAGAAGUAUGAACUAUAACGUCUGGAUCUACAACUCAUAUACAACACAGGGUACACAAAAACAUCUGUACAAUGGUAGUCACUCUAUACAAUGGACAUCACCCUCGGCCGUAGCCUGAGUAGCAAGGUGAUCGACUAGCACGCUCCUAGCAAAGUCUAGCUAGACGCGACUCCCUUGCCACGAUCCCUAACCUCUCCUGUAGAUGGCUCUGUAAAAACAACCAUAAAAAGGGCGUGAGAACUAUUAACAAUAGUUCCGAGUGAGUAAGCCGCCAGCCUCGGCGAAUUACACCACUAGGCUCAUGAUGUACUAAUGAAAAGUAAAUGCAAUAAUUGCAUAAUGCUAACAAGUAAUGAGCAUGUAAUUGCAGGAUACCUUUCCAAUGCUAAGCAAUUAAUAAGCAUGUAAACAACAUGUAAUAGCUUUCUACAGCAAUGAAUUGAACAAUAAAGCAUAGCAGCUACUGUAAGCAUGAACAUAAAUAUGAAUGUGUAAGCAGAAACUAUACACAAUGACUGGUGAUCAUUCAUUACUGUCCAAUGUCCUUUAGCACUUUCUUUUUCAUUUACAGGGACCUACCCAAGGUAGUCCAGCUUGCGCUGCGCCUAAUGGCCCCGUGGUAGUAUACACUUCCCACGGUAAUCCACUUCGGCACCCAAUCCCGCACGAGCGAGCAACUGUCGCGUAGGCCAACUCCGGAGUGCCGGCUUGUAGGGGGCGACCCUCACAAGCAUGUGCGAAUGAGCACAAUGGCAAGCAAGCAUAAUCCACAGUCAACAAGUCUCCAGUAGUAUGUUUUACGGGUAAUGCUUUCAACAUCGAUCCUUGAUCGGAAUUUUAGUAUAACACUAUAGAGCAUAUGAACAAUAGCUAGUAUUCACUAGUAACAUGUGAGAAUACUCCAACUUUACAUAUAACAUAAAAAUCUUUUCCACUAUCAUGGCACUAUUAGCUUAGGCAUAAAAUAUGUUCUCGUGCUCUAAUCUAGAGUAGUCAAGAGAGUGUCACUGUUCUUACAAGCAUGUCAUUUUCUUACAAGCAUGUCGUUGUUCUCUAUAAACAUGUCAUUGUUCUCUACUUUAUAAGCAAUAAAGUCAUGAGAGUGUCAUAGUUUGCUACUUAAUAGAGAUUUCGAUUCAACUCUACUAAAGUAUAGUGACUCGUCAAAAGUCCUAUUUCAAGCCCAAGCGCCCACAACAUCUCCAAUUGGCGUACAUAUAGAACAUAGGGGAGUUCCACUUGCUCUGGUUAGGUCCGACCCACCUAUUAUGAAGCUCCAAUUAGUCACACGAAGUCCCAAUAUACUGCUCAACAAGGCUCCGAUCCUGUUGAAAACAAGAUAAGAAAGUCGUGCCGAAACAAUUACUCAAAACUCCAAUUUCGGCAAAAUUCGCAAGAAGUACAAAAUGGAAACUUAAUUCUCUGCUUUUGGGCUAGGUAUAUACCUCAAGUUAAGCCUCUAAAAGCCUCUAUAAGUCAGCGAAAAGCACUCCAAGACCCGGUCGCAAGCCUGCUGCGAUCAACACGAAAACGGCACCAACAACGUCAAGAAUCAACAUACAACAUCGGAAUCUUGAAAUUUCAGUUUUCUACCUGAAAUUCUUGCUUUCCUCAGGUUAUAGCACCUUCCUCACUUGUCCCCAAGGUCACUAAAUAAGUUUAAUUAGGUUCGAAAACCUGCUGCGAACAUAAGGAUCCAAACUGCAUUAGUAAAUCGCAUAAAGUGCCGAAAUCGCUUCAUAAAGACCUAAUUAGCUCUACUAAGCUUCAAAGUAACAUAUCCCAAGUUUAAGAAAGUUAAUCCACAGCUAAAUAACUCAGCUUUAAGUGUUAAAACCUCAGCCUAACACAGCACGAAGCAGAAAUGCGAAAGCGAUACUCAACUCGCCGAAAACAACAUCAAUCACGAAGAACUUGAGUCGAUUACCUGCUUAGGCAUCCAACCAGUAAACCCCUGGUCCAAAGCUGCGAAAAAAAAACCUCCAAAAUACUCUCUCCCACGACCACGCAACCUCUGCGAUGCUCGUAAUCAGCGAAGAACGCGCGUGGCGACGAAAACGGCUAAAACGACGAGUUCUUUGUAGAGAGAGAAAAACCCUAGAGAGAGAGAGUGUGGAGGAGGUGAAGAAGUCUUCUCUGGGCUCCAGCACCAUCUGAAGAGGUUCAGGGGUCGAGCUGGGAGGAUAGGGAUGAGUAAAAGAGGUGAAAAGACCAAAACAGCCUUGCUGCCACGCAGCUGCAGCUGCUGCUGCUUGCUGUACCGGUACAGCAUUAGGCUUGUACCGGUACACCAAUGCAAAAAUUGUAGAUUUUGCAAUAGCAAUGCACUUUCUCGUCUCCGGCAAUCCGAUCACUCUCUAACUUGUCCCAAAACAUAUCCAAGCCUUUUAGAACAUGUAGGAUAGUUCCAUAUUCCAUUCCACCCACUCGAACUCCGUAAUUUGCACAAGUUCAGUGUAUUACAUUAGACCUAGUGGGAAAAUCGGCGGAGUCGGCGGCCGAACCCACUGAAAACUAUAUUUAUAUAGUUCUCACCCCACUUUGUUGCAGGGCCUAGCGAGACCGUACCGGCAGAGGACCGUGGUAAGGGCAUAGUGCCCUAGUAGCUAGUAGCUUUCCCUCUUUCAUUAGAGUACCCUCAUAUACAUAGAGAUGUGAUGUAUUUGGGAGUUACUUAUGUAUUUGGAGAGCCAUCUUGUAUCAUGAGAAGAAUAUGUAUUCAUUUUGGAAGAUAAAAAAGUAAACCAAUAUGUAAAUGAUGAAUGUGAUGUUAUAGUUAGAUGUACAUCUCUUUAUUUCACUUAUAUAUUACUUGUGAUUCUUGCUCUUAAUUGUAUAGCACUUGUGGUGCUUCUUGUUAGAUCAUGUAUGUUGUUUGAAUUUCUCCUGGGCAAAUUCUUGUACAUGAUCUUGUUGUCGAGCCUUGGGCGGACAGUGGAGGUGCUGUCCGUUCGGCGUCUGAUCGACGUGCCCG